RNAcentral lists this long non-coding RNA (54243 nucleotides) under Brachypodium distachyon (stiff brome). RNAcentral describes it as "long non-coding RNA (BDIS_LNC003339)". Lineage: Eukaryota; Viridiplantae; Streptophyta; Magnoliopsida; Poales; Poaceae. The record is from RNAcentral.
CAUCUUUGGCCCAUAGAUACCCAUUGGAGGGGGAAUCCUCCACUUGGCCGAAAUUCCAUUGAUGAAGAGGAUGCGGCCUUCUUCUCAUCUCUCGUUAUGGCGGUUUCAAUGUUCUGAAAUCAUCACUUGAGCUAGCUCCCGCCACCUUGCUGCCACCUCCAUGGUUUGCUGUCCAACGCUGAUCCUUGAGGUGCAAGCUAGGUCCUUCAUUCCUAAAACACAUAAAAGAACCGAUCUUAGGCAGCAGCAUAUUCUCAUUAAUAUUAAAUGAAGUACCGAGGAACGAAAGUACCUGAUAAUUUAGUUGUCGUGCACGAGCUCUAGUAAUUGGUCCAUGUAUCUCCGGUACUUGAGGUGUAGGUGCUGUAGGGGCUGUGGUUGUAUCAUUAGUUGGGAUGUCCUCAUCAAAUUUGUAGAAACAUGCCUUGUUCUUCUAUCAAAGUUGAUGUUGAAACAUGCUUUACUUUAAAGCCCAACUUGGUGGUUCUUGGUGUAUUGAAUGAUUGGUCCAUAGUGUGUGAUUUUUAAUAAGAUUUGUGCGAGUUUUCUAACCUUGGAGCAUUUUCAUUUAGGACGAAUAUUAAGACAGAUACAAAGACAAUGGAGGUUGUCAUGGAGAUCUUGUUAAUGAAGCAAUCCCCUAUAUUGCGCUAUUUGCGAUUAGGGAGGGGAGUGCGACCUUCAACCUCCAGGACACGGGGACCAGACUAGGGCGUUUGGAGCUAAUUGUGGUGGAAUUUGAAGCGGUCAGUUGUGGGUAAGAAUUUCGGCCCAUGGUAAAUACCUUGAUGACCGGUUGAGGGCAAUGAAGUUUUUGUAGAAGAGUAUCUCGGAAAAGAUGUCGAUGUUUAUUUAAAUCAAGAGGGUAUCUUUAUCUUAUGGCCGUUGGCCAUAGGUAUUAUGGAAAAGGAAGCAUAUUAUUAUUAUCGAUAGCAGUUGUACUUGUUGUAUAGUAUACACGGGAGUGUUUCCUUUAUAUUUGUGAAUUGGAGGGUUAUGCGUGUUGUACAAAUGAAUACUCCCCCCGUCAUGCCGUACCAGUGACCCACAGGGUCCCACUGAUAAGGAACGUGUGGGUCGCGAGUGACGAAGCCCCGCCAGGUUGGCCUCCCAGGAACGAUAGGCCCGGGAAGCCCGCCCCAAGGAGGCGGUCGUUGGCGAAGACAAAGUCAAGGGCCGGAGCAGGAGAAGCACCUGCUUCGGUGCGUACCCGUGAACUCUGGUCCCGGGAAAUGAAAGGAACACUGCCCCGGCAACUGGCCGGGGACGCUAGCCGGGAAGGGGCUCCCCAGCAACCCGCGCUCGGGCAUGCAGGCGGGGGCCGCAGAACAGUGAAGACAGGACGGGACAGCGGACGUAGUGCAUUUAAUGCAUCGACAGGAGUCACAUCGGCAGGACUAGUUUUGCUCAGCAAGGCUAGAGAGUAUACCCUAUAAUCUAUUUUUAUCUACCGUGUACAGUGGCCUGACAGCGCGGAUCAAUAGUAGAGCAAUUCCUGUGGCGAUGACAUGCGUAUAGGAAACGUGUCGCGUUGCAUGCAUCGGCACCUGUGGUACCCCCUUGUCUAUAAAAGGAGAACCAAUGCCACCGGUCAAAGGGUUCAAGUUCGAGUCGAAGUUAGUAGUAGCAAGGAGUUUCGCUCCUGUUCAUAGCCAAUUCUCUUAGGAGAACAAGUAGCUCCCUCGGGAACUCCCUGGGGCAACCUGUAAAAACACACAUUCUUGUGAAUACAACACAGAACAGGACGUAGGAUGUUACACCUACGGGUGGCCCAAACCUGGGUCAACUCACGCGUCGACACUUCGUGUCUUUCGUCACGUCGGUGAUCGCCAGAGCAAUCGCCUUGCCCUCCACCGAACCACAAAGGGGGUGCUCGGCAUCCCCGGUGCCAAAGGCCCGUGCUCCGACAUCUGGCGCGCCAGGUAGGGCGGCAUGCAGAGAACUUCGGGUGACCGCCGGCGUCGUCGUCUUCACCAUCGGCUUCGUCGCCGUCUUCAUCAUCUACCUCGCCAUCGUCUUCACCACUGGUUCCUUCAUCGGCUUCUUCAUCAGCGACAUCGACUUGCUCGCCAUGCCACCCAAGAAGGCAGACGAGCCCCGGGUCGACCUGCGCGACCCCCUCGCCAUGCGCACUCGAUCCCACGACGCCGCACGUGCGUCGCAAGGCCAAGGGGACUAGGGGUCCCGUCAACGGUAGCAGCAGCAACCGCAGCUGCCACCCCCACCUCCUCGGCCGUCGACAGACAACCGUCCGAGGGGGUCUGCGGCGCCUAGCGCCGGAGCCAGCCGCGCGAGCUACCUCAACAUCUCCCGUGCCAGCUAGCGAGCUCCCUCACGAGCUGAGGACGCGCAGCGGCAGCUGCGCCCCGUCCAUAGCGCGUCGCGUGCGACGCCAACGGAGUCUCGGCCCUCACGUCUGAGGGGACCGGGUGACCGGGCAGCCGAUCAGAGAACCGACAACCUCCACCCAAACCCCGGCGGAAGCUAUCAUUGUUGCGCAUGUCAUGGUGCGCUAUGAGCCACCGCAAGGCACGCCAGCGCAUGACACGUGGAGCGCGGAGCUGGACGCGCUCCUCGCACUCGCUGCCCAAUAGCCGCAAGGUGAGGGCGGCCUGGCCGGUUCCGGCCGGGGACAGGACCCGGGACGCAGAGAUGCGCCCCGUGUCUUGGGGCAUGGAGAGCAUCAUCCAAAAUCGGGAGGACAAGGUGGCGAGGAUCCCGAGGACUACUUGGACUCGUCGCCGACCAUCACGCCGGGUGACGCGCGGGGCGUAUUGAACGCCCGCAAAUAGGAAGAUCUCCGCCAGCACUUGCAGCGUUGGCGUUGGCACGAGGUGGAGCGCCAGCGUCCAGAGGAGCAGGAAGACGCUCCCAUGGGCGCCGAUGACGACUGCGCCACGUUCUCUCGCGAGCUGCGCUAGGUGACACGGCCCCGCAAGUGCCGAGCGCUAGCGCUCGGGACGUACGACGGGACCGUGAAUCCCAAGGACCUCCUCCUGACCUACACGUUGCGCAUGCACGCUAUCGGUGCCGAUGACAAGGUCAGGGCCAACUGGUUGCCGAUGGUCCUAAAAGGAUCAGCGAGGACCUGGUUGCUCAACCUGCCCGCCGGAUCUAUCGCCACUUGGGCUGACUUGCGCGAGCAGUUUGUGAACGCAUUCCAGGGCGGCUACAAGCGCCCGGGAACCUUGGCGGAGCUGCACACGGUAGUGCAGAAACCGGGGGAGACGUUGCAGGACUUCACCAACAGGUUCUCUAACCUCUCCUACUCUUUCCUAGAGGCGGAAGCGGCCGCCAUCAUCAACACUUACGCCAUCAACGUCCGUGACCCGAAGGUGCGUGAGAAGUUGAACACGCACCAGAUUCGAACCACAAGGGAUCUCUACGCCAUCGCGCACAAGGCUGCGGGAAACCCACUCGAGGGCUCCGGGAAGAAGGGCUCCCAGAAGCGCAGCGGGAAGCUAGUGCUUGCUGCGGAACCGGGGGCUCCCCAGAGGCCCACCAAGAAGGCGGCGUUGGCGGGAGCAUCGGGUAGCAAGCCGGCGGCGGCCGCACGCUGCCCCAUCCACACCAACGCCACCCACGACGCGCAGGACUACCGCACUCUUUAGACCAUCAAGGAGAAGCGCGAGCUGCGUCACGAGGAGUGCUGCGCUGCUGGGGCUUGCUUCAACUGCGGGGACAUCGGGCACCUCUCCCGGGAUUGCCCGAACAACCCCCGCAACGGAGCGGACUGGGGCGCAGCCGGCGGCGACAAGGGAGAACCCACGGGGGGUCGCGGUCAAGCCCGCGAUGGCAAGGACUGGCCUCCUCGCGGACGCGACAAGCCUCGCGCCGAGCAGAGCGAGGACGACUGCAGUGACGACGCUGACGAGCCCACUUCCAGGAGCCCCGCGACGUCGCCUGCAUCCACGGGGGAGCGUACGCUCUCACGUCACACGCCGCCGUGAAGCGGCUUACACGUGAGGUUUGCACCCUCCUCCCCAGCGUGGAUGCGCCACAGCCGUUGAGGUGGUCACACAUGCCGAUCACCUUCAACUCGGACGAUCAUCCGAUUCGUCCCUUGGGAUCAGGGGUAUUGCCCCUCGUGGUGUCACCCAUCAUAAACAAUGUGACGGUGACCAAGGUUCUGGUGGACAACGGAGCAAGCCUUAACCUCCUGUCCGCCAAGUUGGUGGAGAAGCGUCAGCUGCCUUUGGAGCAGAUGAAGCCCACCGACCCGUUCCGGGAAAUCAACCCCGAAGUGGUGCAGCCCAUGGGGUGAAUCACACACCCGGUGACCUUCGGGUCUUGGGAGGCGUUCCGGACUGAGCACAUCGUUUUCGACGUGGCUCGCACCCCGUUGCCGUACAACGGGAUUAUUGAUCGGCCGGCGCUGAUCAAGUUCAUGGCGGCAACCCAUUGCGCCUAUGGCGUGAUGACGAUGCCAUCAACGUACGGGGUACUCUCCAUCAAGUGCGACCUGAAGGACGCUGCUUGGUGCGUGGGCGAGGUCGUAAAGGCCUCCACGGUGGGGGAUCCCGACGACUACGACAUUGCCGGGAACGAGGAUCCACUUGCGGGUGAACAACCCGCACAGAAGAACGCACGAGCCGCUCCCGGACAGGACACCGUGGGCAGCUUCAGCUCUAGCCUGCGCGUUAGCAAAGGCGCGAAGCUAAAGGAGGAGGGCACCAAGGUCAAGAAGGUGCCCCUGCAUGCCGGCAACGAGGCACGUACCGUUUCCAUCGGUGCGAGCCUCGGCGACAAAUAGGAAAGCGCUCUCGUCGCCUUCCUCCGGGAGAAUUCUGACGUGUUCGCUUGGGAGCCGUCAGAUAUUCCCGGAGUCCCCAGGGAGGUGAUCGAGCAUCGGCUGGCGGUGUGGCCAGACGCGCGGCCGUCAAGCAGAAGGUUCGCUGGCAAGCACAGGAACGCAAGGACGUCAUCCAGCAAGAAGUGGAGAAACUCAAGAACGCCGGGGCAAUCAGGAAAGUGUUGUACCCUACUUGGUUAGCAAAUCCUGUUGUAGUCCCUAAGGCUGGAAAUAAAUUGCGCAUGUGUGUAGAUAUUACUGAUCUCAAUCAUGCAUGUUCUAAGGACCCCUUCCCUGUACCCCGGAUCGAUCAAAUAGUAGAUUUUACAGCAGGUUGUGAGUCUUUAUGCUUUCUGGAUACCUUCUCCGGCGACCAUCAGAUUAAGAUGGUGGUCGAAGAUGAGGAGAAAACAACGUUUAUCAUCCCGGUUGGCUGCUACUGUUAUACGUGCAUGUCCUUCGGGCUGAAGAACGCGGGCUCAACAUUUCAGCACGCUUUGCGCGAGUGUCUGGGACGCCAGCUAGGCCAGAAUAUCGAGGCCUACAUGGACGAUAUCAUCGUUAAGUCACGGCGCAGGGACUCGCUCGUCGGUGACCUACAGGAGACGUUUGACAACCUCCGUAGGAUCAAGCUCAACCUAAACCCCGAGAAGUUCACGUUCGGCGUGGACUCGGGGCACUUGCUAGGCUUCCUGGUGUUCCACCGGGGAAACGAAGCUGUUGUGGAAGGGGGUCCACGCCCACCCUGAAUCGAAGCAAAUUAUUAUGACUCUAACUAAUAAGCCCUAAUGACCAGUGCUACACCUCGGUGCGCCACGUCUGGCCUCGUCAUGCCAUGGUGCCCGGCUACGUACGAGACCACGUCUCGCAUUGUCUCAUUGCACCACUUCAUACCACAUCAUAGUAGUUAGUUCCUAGAGUGGCACAGUUGUAAUUAGAUAAGAGACAAAGAUUUACUUCUCCCAAGCCCUGGGAUUCCUUGGAAUAUUCCCUAGAUAUAGAAAGGAAAAGACACAAUUGCCCUCAACCAAGCAUAAGGACUGAUGGCAUCACCGUAAAUUGCCUAGGGGCAAUCUUGUAAUCUUCAACUUCCAAACUUUAUAAAUAGAAGGGCACCCCCUCAUAUUUGAGGAGCGUUUCCAGUAAAAAAAUAAUAUUUGAGGUGGGUCGCAUUUGCUUGAGGUCAUGCCUCUCCCCUUAUCAUCCUAGGUGACAAGACUCCGACCCCUAAAGUCGUCAAGUGGAGAAGCCUCCAGACCCACGUAGUCGCUCGAUGUAAGGCUCCGACUCCUGAAGUCGUCGAGUGGUGAAGCUUCCAGAACCACGUAGUCGUUCCGACUCUCGAAGUCGCUCGACGUAAGACUCUGACUCUUGAAGUCGUCGAGGGAAGAAGCCUCAAGACCCACAUAGUCGUUCCGACUCUCGCAGUCGCUUGACGUAAGACUCAGACUCCUGAAGUCGUCGAGUGGAGAAGCCUCCAGACCCACGUAGUCGUUCUGACUCUCGAAGUCGCUCGACGUGAGACUCCGACUCCUAAAGUCGUCGAGUGUAGAAGCUUCCCAACCCACGUAGUCGUUCCGACUCUCGAAGUCGCUCGGCGUGAGACUCCGACUCCUGAAGUCGUCGAGUGUAGAAGCUUCCCAACCCACGUAGUCGUUCCGACUCUCGAAGUUGUGACCCAUGCUAAGGUUGUCAGAGUAGCCGAACACAAUGUAAGGUUGGGAUCUUAAUUAGAUAAAAUCUCUUCUUGGGAGCUUUUGAUAUGGACAUGCUAACCAUGGAUACGACCUUUGGUACCCUCAAUUCUAUAAUAUUUGACAAGAUUUAUAAUCAGGAGAAUUCAAGUAGUAAUUGUUUUCAUUGUCAUAUUUAUGAAGAGGCGGAGCUACUACUAUCUUGUCUCGUUUUAUUACGUAGGCAUCUUCUCGAGCUUUUCAAGUCCAAGGUCAAGAUGAGAUACGAUGGAGGCGAACGGGAGGGCCAACAAGAAUCAAGCAUUCAUACAGCUGAGAGGGAAGGAUUUCAAGUGUACUUUCCAACAAAUCAAACGGCACAUGAUUCGGAGCUUGCUAGAGAAAGAUAUCACGAAUUAAAGUUGAAUCCGAUUCAGGUCCAAGCUGCCAGGAGACCCGAAUUUGUUUUAAUCACCCCGGCCGCAUCCGGAGUCCAAAUCAAGCAAACAAGUACUUGUUGGAAAGGUAAUUACAAACGGAUCUGGCCCCAUCAACAGAUUCGACUCGUGCUGACCGUGAAGGACAAAACAAGCUGACGGAUCUGUUUUUCUGUUUCCUAAAAAGUUGUAGUUUGUUAGGAAAGUUAGAGAUAGAGUUGGAUUUCGGCCUCCUUACUCAAGGUGGACGAAAAUAUCUCUCCCUCCUCCUUUAUAUACCCCAUGAGCCCCCCCUAAGGAGCCUUGGGUUUUGAUUAGAUAAAGUUUAGCCAUCUUUGCUACUUUCGUGUAGUCGCGUGUGUCGGUUAGACCACCUGUUUUACCGUCGUCAAGACUCCAACUUAUCAUCUCGUUGAGACAUUGGUUUGAUAUAGUAUACUCGCAAUUUUAGAUUGCAUCCGCUAUUUAUCUUGUUCUUGCUUGUUCUUCGAUUGCUUGCAGGAACAAAGACCUUCGUGGUCAGGUUGAUCGUGCCCCCGCGUGAUCAAUAACCCUCUGGAGUUGGUGUAUCGAUUGCUAAGGCGCUGCCUGCUAGGCCGUAGUCGGAUCGUCAACGUCACCUCCUACCCAAAUCGAGAGUUAUCAGUCUCAUCGAAAGAUCGGGCCACCCCGACCCGCAUCACGUGGUAUCAGAGCUUAAGGUUGCUCGGUGAGAUUUUUCCAGUUUAUCCGUAGUUUAGAUCUUUUUUUACCUAUCGUCCAGAAAAAGCCAAAUAAAAAUUAGAAUUAGUUACCUUGUCCUAGAACCAAUCUGAGCCUUGCAAUUUUCACUUUAGUAUUUGCAUUGUUGAAUCUUUGCUGCGUUAAUCGAAUCGAGUUGCUGGAUUAGAUUGGAUCGUUUUUCAGAUUUUUUCUACUAGAUCAAACUUGCUUUUGGUUUUCUUGUUCUUCGUGUGACGCAGGUUUCCUUCAUCAAUCUUCCGCCGCCAAACUUCUUGCCACACCACCGCCAUAAUCUCCCGCCGCCACCAUAUCUUCCACCGAGUCCCUCUUCGAGUCCUACACCGAGUCCCUCUUCGAGUCCUACACCGAGUCCCUCUUCGAGUCCUACACCGAGUCCCUCAUCGAGUCCUACACCGAGUCCGUCUUCGAGUCCUACACCGAGUCCCUCUUCGAGUUCUACAUCGAGUCGGCAAGUAAUAGUUUUCAGCCGCGAGUUCGAGUCCGAGUCCAAUAAGGAGUGCUUUUGGAAAGUGUUUCAUCAUAGAUCGAAUUUUGUUUAGAGAUCAAGUUGUUUGGAAAGUUGAAAAAAAAAGAAAGGAAAGAAAAAAAAGGAAAGAAAGAAAGAAAAAAAAACGAAAAAAAAAGAGAAAGAGUUCGAGUCAGUUUCGGACCCGAGUCCAAGUAGAAUUUUAGUUCCGGGUGGGUUUGACCCGUGUUAAGUAAAACGGGCGUAUCUUUUGCGUACCAAAAAGUCCAAGAACGUCCAAAUCCGAGUUGGUACGCAAAAGAUACGCCCGUUUUACUGAACAGGGGUCAAACCCACUCGAAACUAAAAUUCUACUCGGACUCGGGUCCGAAACUGACUCGAACUCUUUCUCUUUUUUUUUGUUUUUUUUUCUUUCUUUCUUUCCUUUUUUUUCUUUCCUUUCUUUUUUUUUCAACUUUCCAAACAACUUGAUCUCUAAACAAAAUUCGAUCUAUGAUGAAACACUUUCCAAAAGCACUCCUUAUUGGACUCGGACUCGAACUUGCGGCUGAAAACUAUUACUUGCCGACUCGAUGUAGAACUCGAAGAGGGACUCGGUGUAGGACUCGAAGAAGGACUCGGUGGAAGAUAUGUUGGCGGCGGGAGAUUAUGGCGGUGGUGUGGCAGGAAGUUUGGCGGUGGAAGAUUGAUGAAGGAAACCUGCGUCACACGAAGAACAACAAAACCAAAAGCAAGUUCGAUCUAGUAGAAAAAAUCUGAAAAACGAUCCAAUCUAAUCCAGCAACUCGACAUGAUUAAUGCAGCAAAGAUUCAACAAUGCAAAUACUAAAGUGAAAAUUGCAAGGCUCAGAUUGAUUCUAGGACAAGGUAACUAAUUCUAAUUUUUAUUUGGCUUUUUCUGGACGAUAGGUAAAAACAGAUCUAAACUACGGAUAAACUGGAAAAAUCUCACUGAGCAACCUUAAGCUCUGAUACCACGUGAUGCGGGACGGGGUGGCCCGAUCUUUCGAUGAGAUUGAUAACUCUCGAUUUGGGUAGGAGGUGACGUUGACGAUCCGACUACGGCCUAGGAGGCGGCGCCUUAGCAAUCGAUACACCAACUCCAGAGGGUUAUUGAUCACGCGGGGGCACGAUCAACCUGAACACGAAGGUCUUUGUUCCUGCAAGCAAUCGAAGAACAAGCAAGAACAAGAUAAAUAGCAGAUGCAAUCUAAAAUUGCGAAUAUACUAUAACAAACCAAUGUCUCAACGAGACGAUAAGUUGGAGUCUUGACGACGGUAAAACAGGUGGUCUAACCGACACACGCGAUUACACGAAAGUAGCAAAGAUGGCCAAACUUUAUCUAAUCAAAACCCAAGGCUCCUUAGGGGGGGCUCAUGGGCUAUAUAAAGGAGGAAGGAGAGAUAUUUUCGUCCACCUUGAGUAAGGAGGUCGAGAUCCAACUCUAUCUCUAACUUUCCUAACAAACUACAACUCUUUAGGAAACAGAAAAACAGAUCCAUCAGCUUGUUUUGUCCGUCACGGUCAGCACGAGUCGAAUCUGUUGAUGGGGCCAGAUCCGUCGGAAAGGUCUUGUAAUUGCCUUUCCAACAAGUACUGGUUUGCUUGAUUUGGACUCCGGAUGCGGCCUGCGUGAUUAAAACAAAUUCGGGUCUCCUGGCAGCUCGGACCCGAAUCGGAUUCAACUUUAAUUCGUCAUAUCUUUCUCUAGCAAGCUCAGAAUCAUGUGCCGUUUAAUUUGUUGGAAAGUACACUUGAAAUCGUUCCCUCUCAGCUGUAUGAAUGCUUGAUUCUUGUUGGCCCUCCCGUUCGCCUCCAUCGUAUCUCAUCUUGACCUUGGACUUGAAAAGCUCGACAAGAUGCCUACGUAAUAAAACGAGACAAGAUAGUAGUAGCUCCGCCUCUUCGUAAAUAUGACAAUGAAAACAAUUACUACUUGAAUUCACCUGAUUAUAAAUCUUGUCAAAUAUUAUAGAAUUGAGGGUACCAAAGAUCGUAUCCAUGGUUAGCAUGUCCAUAUCAAGUGUCCAAACCAGGGUGCUACAAGUUUACUGUUCGGGAUUAACCUGCCAACAGUUGGAGCCGUCUGUGGGAACCGACACGAGAAGUCAUGUCAUGAAAUGUGAACACUCCAAGCUAGUGCCUUCAUCAAGUCUAAAUCUAAAGAUAACUUGGAAAUACUGCAGGUGUGGCCGGUGAGCAAACCAUCCUCGAAGAGCAAGAAAAUCCCUUGAAGAUGGCUUUAUUUGGUGACAUACCACUUUCAUGAGUGAGUCAGGAAGACAUCUCACGGUGACAACGAAGUCUCUAUUCUCGUCAAAGAACGAUGUGGCAUGCCAACAUCCCUUGUUGAGAAGCCGUUCGCGAAGCACCAUAUCGCGUCGAUAGACACGCGCAUGCGUAACUUGAAGAAACUCCACGCUCGUGUCGAGUCAAAUAAACUCCGGGUGAUAUCCCACGUCGAGAAACAUCAUGAUGGCCGGCGAUUAAAAAAAACCAUGGCGGCGUCUCGUGUUGAGAAGCAACCCCUGUACGUCUGUGAAGACCAUAUCAGAAAGCAUCACGAGAGUACAGGUGAAGAAACUCCACGGCGAUUUCUCAUGUCGAGAAGCAACUCAUCCGCUUGCGCCGGAAAAACUCCAUGACGCCCCCCCGGAGUCGAGCAGCGUCCUAUCCACGUCCAGUGAAUACUCUCCUAGGGCGUGCCACGCACAUAAAAGCGCAACUCGCUCUGCGGACGGCAAAGCCAUCUCGCGGCAAAGUCAGCGCAAGGGGCUGGUGCUGAAAGCCCUAGUGUCAAGAACACCCUCAACAUUUAGACAAUGCCACCAAGGUCAAACGCACACAAAAUAUAGAAGAAUUCAUGGCGCGCAGAUGAAUAUAAAUGUAUACAACCAUUAUCUACAAACAAUCUGUACGUGAUGGCCCAAAAAAAGAUGUUGUACAUGAUAUCUUCUUGCACCACAUCCGGAUGGCACCCGCCGGGUUCGGGUGCGGGUACAGCUCUACCAUACCCGUACCCGAUGGCCCGACCCUCAACAUUCAGUCUCAUUCAGAAGCAUGCAACGUCAUAAACAACAUGUAGACAACAUCAUAAAUAGCAUUAUUUCAACAAUUAACAACAUCAUUCAACGAGGAUUGCAGGGCUUGGCAUCGGCGAUGUCUUCGACUACGGCCUCCAACACCUCUUCAUGCCGCCACCAGGUGCCGGAGCUCGCGGACCCGUGCCGGCCGACGCCUCAGCGGGGUGCUCUUCCUCGUGAUCCUCACCGGCAGGCCCCCAACGGCGGCGCUGGAUAUGCCGAGGUGGGAUCCGUGGAGGCGGGGCGGACUGGGGGCAGAGGGGUGGAGGAGGGACGGCAGACUGAUGGACGGUGGUGAGGAGGCGGGGGCGCGGGCGGCGCCAUGCGUACAGGGGAGUAGGGGUCGGGGUCUCGGGGGUGGGGCCAGUGGAGGAGGCGGGAGGCAGGGACGCGGGGCAGAGGGCCGGUGGAGGAGGCGAGAGGCAGGGGCGCGGCCGCGUGACGACGCGAGGCGGGGAGGACGACAGGAGUCAGGAGGCGGCGCGGCAGACAGGUGAUGUAGGGAAUUUGGAAUUUAGGGUUAGGUCUUGGGGCAAUUUAUAUCUAUGAAAAUGUUGUGGGGCUGGGCCUUAGAAAAAGUUUACUGAGCCUACUGCACUGUGCUAGAUGCGGGUAGAUGGGUUUGGCUGGUCCAAUACCAUACCCGUAUCCGUCAUACCCGUCGGGUAUAGGAUUUUACCAUUUACAUACCCGCAGGUAUUUUUUCUUACCAUACCCGUUUUUUAAACGGUAUGCGGGUAUCGGUUACCCAUCGCCAUCGGGAGCACCACACGGUGUACAUACAAAGAAGACUGACUCACCCACCACGUGACACCACCCAGCGCCAGGACACUGCAUCGAGCAGUGGCAACCUAACUUACUGCACGCUGCAGCCAUCCUUGCAACCUAACCUACUGCACGCUGCAGCCAUCCUGAUGUCACGUCAGGCUCCCGCUCCAUCCCGCGUCAGGUCGCAAUGCCAUAUCGGUCGUUGCUCCUGCUGAUGCUCGGAGCCGCAUGCCGGCGACCCACACGAAGGCACAUCUGCAGCUCCUCGUGAAGACAACGUCACAGAGGCAUUUCAUCAAACACGUCCUGUGCAACGUGCGUGGUUCCUCAACCAUGAGUUCUGCAGAUGCUCUUCUGAACACGAGCAUCACCGACGCCACAACUCCGUGAGCACCUGCAACAAAGAGCGACCACCGCGCACGCCUGCUGCGUUCCUGUGUCCGCCGCGCGCAGGUAGCAGCCAGCCGGGCGCGCAUCGGCGCAUGGGUGCAUGGUCUCGCGCGGCCCUCAUUGCCGGCCUCCGCAUGGCUAAGACGCGCCCACCGCGCAUAUGCUGACACUGCUACAACACCAGCGCCACCUCGUCUGUUCUCCGCAGCAGCCACGCACUGAAGCAAGCCCACCAACGUGCCUCGACGCAGGACCGUGCCGCACCCGCUCGCUCAAUGAGGCCGCGCCACGCGCCGUGACGCUUGAACUCCGCACGCGCUCAAGACCCGGCGCCGCGCACCUGCUCGGGGAGGCCACCUGGUCGGAGCCGACGACACCCCUUAUAUAUGGGUCCUCCGAACUGCCGGUGUUUCCCUCGCCUGCACAGGCUUGCCCGUCCACUCUGCGUCUGUUGCCGUACCAGGCCAGAGCUCGCGUGCCUCGCCGGGCGCUCCAAGGCUAACUCCGCCGAGGCUGCGCUGCUCACGGAAGAAGCCCCGAUUUUGGGCGUGCAGGUCGCAGACCAUGACCUCUGCACCCGGCCUCAAGCUCGCAGGCGCCGAAGACCGUCCGAACCACCAAUGGGCCCGGAAUCUGGUCGUGCCCAGUGCCCUUCCCCGCUCGGCGCUUGUGCCCUCCGCGGGACCAUCCUCAACCUAGCUCGACCACCUGUACAGGAGGAGAGAUCGAUCGGUUCAGGCAGGUAAAAAAAAAUUUGAUAAUACUAGAGAUUUGGUCAUCGGGUUGGCACUGGAUGCAUUUUUCUCCGUAGGGACCUCAACUUUGAUAAUUCAAUGACAAUGAAGCAACUGUCGUAACCGUUCAAUACACUCAGGACAAACAACAAGCUCACGACAGCACACAUGACGAGCCGCCAAUCGACUGCUGCGAGGAAGUGAUUGGCACCAAAUCGCAAGGGGUUCAACACCCGAUUAAUUUCUCCCGAGCCUCAUGAAGACAUGAAGUGAUGGGUAUAAGUUCGCAAGGGGUUCAACAACCCGAGCUACAUUUUGAGCUUCUGAUAAUUAUGUAGCCGCAUUUUACUUUCUCAUUACUUUAAUACUCUUUGUCAUAACAUUAACCUCUUUGUCAACUUUGAUUUCACACAAUGAACUACGUGAAUCCUUUAUGUUAUGCCUUUUGUAGGAUGCGAUUCACUCACAACACUUAUUUAUCAUGACAAUGUCAAGUCAAUAAAAUUCCGUCAUUAACGGAUCCGGCCUAGCUCACCGGGAUGACAUGAGAAAGUAAGAUAGCCAUGAGAGUACUUGGACUAGCUCCCUGAGACAUCAUGAGUCAGACAUACCCCUGCUAUGGAUGGACUCGGCCUAGCUCAGCGGGACGACAUGAGCAAAUAAGAUAGCCAUGAGAGGGCUCAGGCUAACUCCCCGAGUCAUCAUGUGCCAGACAUACCCCGUCAUGGACGGACCCGGCCUAACUCACAGGGACGACAUGAGCAAAUAAAAUAGCCAUGAGAGGGCUCGGGCUAACUCCCCGAGACAUCAUGUGCCAGACAUAGCCCGCCAUGGACGGACCCGGCCUAGCUCACCGGGACGACAUGAGCAAAUAAGAUAGCCAUGAGAGGGCUCGGGCUAACUCCCCGAUACAUCAUGUACCAGACAUAUCUUGUCAUGGAUGGAACCGGCCUAGCUCACCGGGACGACAUGAGCAAAUAAGAUAGCCAUGAGAGGGCUCGGUCUAACUCCCCAAGACAUCAUGCACCAGACAAACCAGCGGUCGGGCCGAUACGUCUUCAGUAAAAGGCGAAAGAAUAGUUCGCUUUGUGCUCACCACACAGCUGCGUACGCUAAUUUUUGGAGGGGUACUACAUACCACUGCAGCAUGAGAACAUCACCCCAUCUAAAUGGUGAAGUAAUAUUGAAGAAAAUUCCACGAAGGGCAAAUCUAGCUCCAUAAUACAUCCCAGAACUUAUGAGGACAUCAAUGAGAAAAAGAAGAAUCUUCAUCACCGGGAGUCACGACUCUGCGGUCAUCAAAGAAGGAGGCAAAGAACCUCCAUUACCGCAUAGGAGCCACGACUCUCCGGUCAUGUCGAGAAUGAGACAAAGGACCUCCAUAACCGCGAGAGCCACUACUCCGCGGUCAUGUCGAGAAGGAGGCCACGGAUCUCCAUCAUCGCGUAGGAGCCAGGACUCCGCAGUCAUGUCAUAGACGCCUAACUACCACCAUAGUUGAUUGCGAGCUAGGACUCCGCGUCUCUGCCUAGAAGAUGUUGAAGAAAAUCCAUAUCAAAGUAGGGGCCACAACCCCGUGGCAAUAUCGAGGAGACAAUGAAAAACUUAGUUAUUGCAAGCAAGCUGAAAUCCCGUGGCCGCAUAAAAAAGAAGGAACAAGAACUCUCUAUCAUGGCGUGUGGGACAACGCUCAACUCCAAGGUUGGGAAGACAAUGGAGAUCAAACCCACACCGCAACACGCAAGAAAAAAUAGUUGCGUCAUCCAGAUAUGAAAACUGGGUUACCACCGCCAUGUGUAAUUCACAACUUCACCACCAAUUCAAGAUGAAAAACUCAUCAACAAUGCUUUGACCCAUGUAGUUGUGGAGGACAAAUUUCCACCACCGUAGCAUAUUCGAAGCACCAUAUAUGCAUAAAAAAUUCUACACCACAUGCGGAGAACCAGCAAGGGACAUUCUAGGUGAAACACACAGUCCAAAAGUACAUAGCACAAUCAAGAAAAACAACAAUUGUCCAUGAUGAUGAGCAGAGAGAAAGAAGUAAGUUAGCAUCGAUCCGGGUAACGCGUCAACCCCCUCAGAUUGAGGCGUCGACCCGGACAGGCGCUCCUCGACCGCCCAGACGACGAGGGGCUACUGUUGUGGAAGGGGGUCCACGCCCACCCUGAAUCGAAGCAAAUUAUUAUGACUCUAAUUAAUAAGCCCUAUUGACUAGUGCUACACCUCGGUGCGCCACGUCUGGCCUCGUCAUGCCAUGGUGCCCGGCUACGUACGAGACCACGUCUCGCAUUGUCUCAUUGCACUACUUCAUACCACAUCAUAGUAGUUAGUUCCUAGAGUGGCACAGUUGUAAUUAGAUAAGAGACAAAGAUUUACUUCUCCCAAGCCCUAGGAUUCCUUGGAAUAUUCCCUAGAUAUAGAAAGGAAAAGACACAAUUGCCCUCAGCCAAGCAUAAGGACUGAUGGCAUCACCGUAAAUUGCCUAGGGGCAAUCUUGUAAUCUUCAACUUCCAAACUCUAUAAAUAGAAGGGCACCCCCUCAUAUUUGAGGUGCGUUUCCAGUAAAAAAAAAUAUUUGAGGUGGGUGGCAUUUGCUUGAGGUCAUGCCUCUCCCCUUAUCAUCCUAGGUCACAAGACUCCGACCCCUAAAGUCGUCGAGUGGAGAAGCCUCCAGACCCACGUAGUCGCUCGACGUAAGACUCCGACUCCUGAAGUCGUCAAGUGGUGAAGCCUCCAGAACCACGUAGUCGUUCCGACUCUCGAAGUCGCUCGACGUAAGACUCCGACUCCUGAAGUCGUCGAGGGGAGAAGCCUCAAGACCCACAUAGUCGUUCCGACUCUCGACGUCGCUCGACGUAACACUUGGACUCCUAAAGUCAUCGAGUGGAGAAGCCUCCAGACCCACGUAGUCGUUCCGACUCUCACAGUUAAAGAAGUGUCACCAAGAAAUGGCCGAUACACCACUGAGGGAUACAGUUUCACUUGAUGAAGUUGAGAUUCAAAGCGAUCUCACAUAUGAAGAGAAACCAACCAGGAUCUUGGAAACAGCUGAAAGACAUACCCGUUCCAAGACCAUCAAAUUCUGCAAGGUUCAAUGGAAUCACCACACCGAAGAAGGAGCGACGUGGGAACACGAGGAUGAUCUUCGAGAAGACCACCCACACCUUUUUGCUAACCAAUAGGAAUCUCGAGGACGAGAUUCAUCUUAAGGGGGUUAGGUCUGUAACAUCCCAAUUUUCAAAACCCUUCAUAUGCAUUGCAUAUCAUAAGCAUCAUGUCACCUUUGCAUUUGAUCACUUUCAAAACCUAAAAUUUGCACAAAAAACCCUUUUGCAAAAAUGCAUUUAUUUGAUUUUGGGCUUUGAUCUUGCUCUUGAGUAUUUGCAUUUUAACCCAUGAGGGUAUUGUGAUAAAAAGGGUUUAGUGCAUAUAUAAAGCUACCCCAUAAGUUGACUUUUGAAACUAUUUUGAAACAUAAUUUAUUUUGAUAGCCUAAGGGCCCUAAAAGCCAUUUUAUAGGCAAAUGUAUUAUUAAAUAUUUUAUUUUGAGUAAAUUCUUGUUCCAAAAGUUAGAUCAUAUGAAAAUAUGAUUUUACAAAUUUUGUUGCAAUUUAUUUGGAGUGAUUUGGAGCUUUGAAUCAAUUUUGAGGUUCAGAAACAGAAAUUAGAAAGAAAGAAAAGAAAAACCGGAGAAAACCGGCCGAACAGGACCGAACUGGACCGGCCCAGCCCGAACCGCCCGGUUUCUCUCACUGACCGGUGGGACCCGCACGUCAUCAUCUCCAACUGCCUCCUCCGGAGUCCACGCAGAGCACGCCCCGCGAACUGCCCACGACGCCCACUCCGAUUUCUCCGCGCACGGGCCGUCUCCUCCAAAUCCCUGCGCGUCACCCCGAAGCCCUCACUUUUCUCCUCCACUUCCCCCAAACUGCUCACCCAAUUUUGCUUCGGUUAGAUAUUAGUUUCUCACCAGAGUUGCUCUCUGCUGUCGCCGUUCUUCGCGUUUCGUCGCCGCUCCGGUGAGCUUCUCGCACCGCCGACCCUCUCCCCUUCCGCCUCUCUCCCGUGCGCACCCCGUGACGCGCUUGCCUUCGAGUUCGAACUGCGCCGCCCGCCUGCCGCGCCGCCGUCCGCCUCCGCCCUGAACCGCGCCGCUUGCGCCGUCCGGGAGCCGCGCCGUCGCCCGCGCGCUGCCCGCGCCGCCUUCGGCCGUGCCCGUGCGCCGUCCGCCGCCGCCCCCCGCCUGCGCCGCGAGCCCGCGGUGCCAUGCCUCCGCCGUUCGGUGAGCUCGCGCCGCCUAGGAGAAACCCUAGGUCCCGGCCAAUCCCGCCAUGCCACGUGGCGAAGCUUUUUCUUUUUCUUUUUAUUUUAUUUUCGGCCGAUUAAAUAGUAAUUUUUGCAGAAAAGCCCCUGUUACUUCAAAGCAUCAUAACUUUCAAACCGUUUGUCCAAAAAUUAUGAUCUGCACCUUUAUGGAAUCGUCACAACCUGUAAAAUAUUUUGGCACUGUCUAAUUUCAGUUUCGAACAACUUAGUCUGAAGCAAUUUACAGAAUGGUUGAAUAUGGUUUAAAUUUCAAACGAAAGGUUUCAAAAUAGUUUUGAACAUGUUAGCUUGCUGUAAAAUUAUUUAAGCAUGUUCUCUGUCCAUUAUGACCAGAGGAGAAAUUAUUUUGAGAAUAAUAAUGGCAUACGAGUUUAAAUCUUGCUGUAUGUUGCAAAAACCACACAAUCUUUUAAUUUAAAACCUAUCCUUGUUUCAUGCAUGUUAAUUACCUCUUUGAUGUUGUUUAAACUGUCCAAAUCAUUUGAAAAACUUUUCAAAACAGAAACAAAACUUGUUACAUUAAAAGUAACCAAGUGUGCAUUAAUAUAGCAUAUGCAUCAUAAGAUGAUUUUGUGUGGAAGCUUGUGUUUAUUGUGUGUAUACUUUCUUUUAUUUUAGAUUGUGUGGUGUGUAUUUUUUGUUUUUGCGAAGAGUGCGAGAACUAUCACAACCUUGGACAAGGCAAGUUCAUUUUGAUCAUAUCCCAUUAUUAUUGUUGUUUUAAAAUACUUAUGCAUUAGUGUUGUUGGUAGAGAUGCAUUGAUAGGACUAUUACUCGUACCUCUAUACUAGCUAUAUAUCCCAGGUAGUAUAGUUUAUCCUCGCCAUUACCUUGCCACCAAAUUGCCAUCGAUUGUAGUUGAAUGCUAAACUAUGGUAGUAUCGUGGGGGAAAUAUCUACAUUAUGAUAUUGUUAUGCCGUUGGCUAUAUGAAAUGUUUUUGUUAGAUGUAAGUCAAAACAACUAAUUCAAUGAACCGUCCUGGGUGGGCUGCUUUGAGCAUUUUGAGCAUUAGCGGCGUCAGGUGAUACGGGUCAGGGUGGCCCGAUCUUUCGAUGAGAUUGAUAACUCUCGAUUUGGGUAGAAGGUGACGUUGACGAUCCGACUACGGCCUAGGAGGCAGCGCCUUAGCAAUCGAUACACCAACUCCAGAGAGUUAUUGAUCACGUGGGGGCACGAUCAACCUGACCACGAAGGUCUUUGUUCCUGCAAGCAAUUGAAGAACAAGCAAGAACAAGAUAAAUAGCGGAUGCAAUCUGAAAUUGCGAAUAUACUAUAUCAAACCAAUGUCUCAACGAGAGAAUAAGUUGGAGUCUUGACGACGGUAAAAUAGGUGGUCUAACCGACACACGCGAUUACACGAAAGUAGCAAAGAUGGCUAAACUUUAUCUAAUCAAAACCCCAAGGCUCCUUAGGGGGGCUCAUGGGCUAUAUAAAGGAGGAGGGAGAGAUAUUUUUGUCCACCUUGAGUAAGGAGGCCGAAAUCCAACUCUAUCUCUAACUUUCCUAACAAACUACAACUCUUUAGGAAACAGAAAAACAGAUCCGUCAUCUUGUUUUGUCCGCCACAGUCAGCACGAGUCGAAUCUCUUUAUGGGGUCAGAUCCAUUGGAAAGCUCUUGUAAUUACCUUUCCAACAAGUACUUGUUUGCUUGAUUUGGACUCCGUAUGCGGCCUGGGUGAUUAAAACAAAUUCGGGUCUCCUGACAGUUCGGACCCGAAUCAGAUUCAACUUUAAUUCGUGAUAUCUUUCUCUAGCAAGCUCCGAGUUAUGUGCCGUUUGAUUUGUUGGAAAGUAGACUUGAUAGGCUUCACUUUGAAUCUCCCUUUGAAGGCUAUCACACUUCAUCUUCACUUUGGACUUGUAAAGUUCAAUAAGAUGCCUACAUAAUAAGAUUACACAAGAUAGUAGCUCCGCCUCUUUGCAAGUAACAUAUUGAAAACAUUUUAUAAUUGAAUUUACCUGAUUAUAAUUGUUAUUAGAUACACCAACAAUUUAGGGUUCUAAUGGUCGUAUCCAUGGUUAGCAUGUCCAUAUCACACACUUAACAGGACCAGGGACUCGGGACGGACCAGCAGUGCCGACCUGGGGCCAAGCAGCAGCGGCGAGCUACUCCGCUUGCGGGAUAACUACUCCCAGGCAUGCCCUCCCGGGAUGGACCCGGAAGCCGCACGGGGAGCGCACUCCCCCCGCAAGUGUCCUUCUAACACCCCAGCCACACGCAGGUUUCGGGGACCACACUUAGCGAGGCAGCGUUCAGUUACGUUUAGCUCUCAGAGAGUCUAUCGUUCAGAUUCAAGCACUUAGCUUUUCGUUUGGACUCGUGCUCGGUAAGCGUGCCGGAGGGGUGCGUCUGGAACGCUGCGGCAGGAUCGCCGCCCGUGACGAGCACCGAUGACGAUGCUACAGCCGCGUCUCUGCAUCAACCCUCGCCUUCGGAAGAGCCCUUGCCUUUGGAGGAACCUGUUCCGAGGGGUGCAGUAGGGACGCCGUGACAUCCUCGCCACCACCGACAGACGCGGGUGGCGAAGACAUCACGGCAUCCCCGCAGCAGCCCUCGCUGCUUGGGGAAGGUCUACCUGAGGGACGCAGCAGGGACGCUGUGGUGGACCGGAGCAAACGGCGAACGCGGCACCGGCGCCAUCACAGCGUCCUCGCGACGACCCUCGCCUCUGGAGGCACCCUCUAGAGGGGUGCGGCAGGGACACUACGGCAAUGCACCCGUCGACGCUGAGCGCUGAUGGCAUGGACCACCACAGUGUCUCCGCGGCAACCCUCGCCCCGGAGCCGCUCGCUAGAGGAGGUGCAGCAAGGACACGGCGGCAGUGCACCUGUCGGUGCUGAGUGCCGGGGGUAUGCACCCCCACCGUGUCUCUGCGGCACCCCUCAGAGUGGGCUCGGUGGAGGGAUGCGGCAAGGGCGCGACGGCAGUGCACCCGUCGGUGCUGGGCGUGGAUGGCAUGUACCCCCAUCGCGCCUCUGCGGCACCGCCCGCCUUUGCAGCCUCUUCCUUGGCCUCUUCCUCAGAGUGGGCUUGGUGGAGGGAUGCGGCAAGGGCGCGACGGCAGUGCACCCGUCGGUGCUGGGCGUGGAUGGCAUGUACCCCCAUCGCGCCUCUGCGGCAUCGCCCGCCUUUGCAGCCUCUUCCUUGGCCUCGCUCUGAGCCGUUCCAUGGCCGGGACGCCCCUUUUAUAGGCGCGGGGGGGGGGGGGGCGGGGCUUGCCACCACGCGCGCCGGGUCAACGCAGCAUACGUGGCGGCUUCCUCCUGAAUAAGGGGCCUCGAAGUGCGGCAAGUCCCUCAGGAUGCGGUCGCUCCUCACCACAAGGCGGCGCUACACGCCCCGGCCCGUGGGCGGUCCACGAGCAUUACAGUGCGCAACAUUACACCUUUACCUUGCACAUUGGAUUCUUACCAAGCCCAAGAUGCUGCAAUUUUUUUUCGAAACUCACGAAAACACAGAGCAGUAUGGAUAACUCUGCUACCUCCCAGUCCUCGGGCACAGAAGGGUCGAUGCCAAACUUGGAUGUGAGCACUUUUAUUUCCCAGGCGCAGCGACUGCGUGAUGCACGUUGCGGGAAGCCCGGCAACUGCAUGCCCCGUGACGGAGUGGUCCGGCAACGGGUUCACAACCAAGUAUGGAAAGAGACUUCUGUGCACCUAGAGCAGGAGACAGAAGGAGGAGGAACAUGCAAAUAAACGAGGCAAUCUUAAAAUUCAGGAAACAACACUUAUGUUUAUUCACAGUAACUAGUGGUUUACACACGGGGGUUGCCCGGCUACACUAGUUCGAGAGGUAUGCAUCUGCGGCAUCACCUGAGGCUCGGGCUCCACCGCUUCACGAGUAGAACUUGCGCAAGUGCUCAAUAUUCCAGCUAUUUUGCACUGGGAAGCCUUCUUCGGUUUCCAGCCGGACAGCCCUCGGCCUGGUCACCUACACUACCCGGGAGGGCCCCUACCAUUUCGGAGCCAACUUGUUCCCGGCCUUCAUUCCUUAUAUCCGGCGCAGGACAAGGUCUCCGUUCUCGAGCCCCCGGGGACGGACUUGCCUGCCGUGAUAAUGACGGAGUCCCUGCUGGUAGCGCGCGGCUCGCACAGCAGCUCGGCAUCGAAGCUCUUCGAUGAAGCUCAGAUCAUCAACCCUUUGCUCGUGUUGGCUGGAGUUGCCGUACGCGCGUACUCGGGGAGAUCCGUGCUUGAGCUCGAGGGGCAGCACCGCUUCUGCCCCGUAGACAAGGGCGAAAGGAGCGUUGCCCGGCUAGGUGUGGUCCUGAUUGACCACAGCACGGGCUGGAGUUCUUCGACACAGUGUUUCCCGUGGCCUUUGAGCUUGUCAAAGGUUCGUGUCUUGAGCCCCCGCAGCACUUCCGCGUUGGCUCGCUCCGCCUGCCGGUUACUCCUUGGGUGAGCAACAGACGUGAAGUGUAUCUUGGUGCCCAUGCCCUCACCGUAGGCCUGGAACACCGCGCUCGUGAAUUGUGUGCUGUUGUCGGUGAUGAUGCCAUUAGGCACACCAAACCGCGACACAAAGCUCUUGAAGAACUUGAUGGCUGCCUGAGCGGUCACCUUCCGCACUGGCUCCACUUCCACCCACUUGGAGAACUUGUCGAUGGCCACGAGCAAGUACUCGUAGCCUCCAACCGCUCUCGGCAGCUUGCCGACGAUAUCCAGCCGCCAGACCGCGAAUGGCCACAAGGACGGGAUGACCUGCAGGGCCUGCGCCGGCUGGUUGCUCUUCUUCGCGUGGAACUGGCACGCCUCACACGUCUUCACCAGCUGCUCUGCGUCGGCCAGGCUGUGGGCCAGUAGAAACUGUGCCGAAACGCCUUGCCGGCAAACGCCCGGGAGGCCACAUUGUGGGAGCAUGUGCCUCGAUGUAUCUCCUCCAACAGUGCGCGCCCUUCAUCUUGGGGCUCGCAGAGGAGCUUGACUCCAUUUGCACGCCUGCGGUAGAGGUUCCCGUCCACCACGGCGUACAUUUUGGCUUGCCGGGCCACUCGCUCCGCGGCGACGUUGUCUUCCGGGAGAGCCUCUCCCUUCAGGUACGGGCGAUUGCCACCGCCCAGGAGGGGUCUCUCUACCAACGCAUGCCGCUACAUCAGCAGCAUAGACCUCCGCUGUUGCGGGGUUUCCUUCGGUUGUCGGAGGGGCUUCCCCGGCAACCGGCUUGGGGGCGACCGAAGGCACCACCUACCUGUGGUAGAACACCCCCGCCGGAGGCUUUUGGCGCUAUCUUGGACAGCUCGUCAGCCGCGAAGUUGUCCUUCCGCUUGACGUGCUCGAACCGCAAACCCUUGAACUUGCGUUCUAGCUUGCGGACUUCCUCCACGUACGGUGCCAUCUACGGGCAGUCGUAGUCCUUGUUAACCUGGUGGAUCACGAGCUGGCAGUCCUCGCGAACGACCAGGCGCUUGAUGUCCAGGGCGAUUGCUGCCCGCAACCUGGCGAGCAAACCCUCGUACUCCGCCGUGUUGUUAGUGGAGUUCGAGAAAUCGAGUUGGAUAGCAAACCUCAACCGAUCCCCCGUCGGUGACUCGAUGACGACCCCAGCGCCAGCUCCCUGGAGGCUGAACGCGCCGUCGAAGUACAGGAUCCAAUGGCCUCCGUCCAGCCUGCCUGGCAGGCUGGCCUCCGGCUCCUCCUUUCUACACCUGUCGAUGUCCACUCCGCGACAAAGUCCGACAGGGCCGCACUCUUGAUGCUCUUGGAGUUGGUGAAGUGCAGAUCGAACUCCAACUGCUCCAUCCUCCACUCGGCCACCCUCUCGGUGGCUUCACGGUUGGUGAGGACUCACUCAAGGCAGAACCCCGACACCACCAUGACACGGUGCGCCUGAAGGUAGUGGCGUAGUUUGCGGGACGCGAGCAGAAUCCCCAGGAGGAGCUUCUGCACCUGCGGGUACCUCGUACGGGCAUCACGCAGCACCAUGCUGACGAAGUACAUCGGGUGCGGCACGAGCCGCUUGCGCGGUGCCGACGCUGCCGGCUCCGGGGUGGUCCCUGGGUCCGAGGAGGUUGCCGGGGGCCGUUCCGCCCCCCACCCCGCCGCCUCAGUCCCCGAAACGUCUUCCUCCCUCUCGCCAACUAGCACCGAGCUGACCACCUGGUCAAUCGCUGCUAGGUAGAGUAGCAGCGGCUAACCCGGCUUGGGGGCGACGAGGACGGGCGACGACUUCAGGUAUUGCUUGAGAUCCUGGAACGCCGCCUCAGCCUCGGGGGUCCACUGUAUCGGACCCUUCUUCUUUAUCACUUUGAAGAAAGGCAGGACGCGUUCGUCCAACCUUGAGAUGAAGUGGCCCAGCGCGGCAACACAACCGUUGAGGCGCUAGACGUCCUUCACCUUGCGGAGAGCCUCCAUUUUCUCGAUAGCUUCUAUCUUCUGUGGGUUGGCUUGUAUCUCCUGGCUCGAGUCUACAACGAAGGUGCACUUCUCAGGGUUCAGCUUGAGUUUGAUCCUGCAGAGGUUAUCAAAUGUCUCCCGCAGGUCAUCAAUCAGCGAGUCCCUUCGCUUCGACUUGAUGACGAUAUCGUCCAUGUAGGCCUCCACGUUCCGGCCUAGCCGGGGUCCCAAACACUUGCGCAACACGCGCUGGAAUGUUGAGCCCGCGUUCUUCAACCCGAAAGGCAUGCACGUGUAGCAGUAGCAGCCAACCGGAGUGAUGAACACUGUUUUCUCCUCGCCUUCGACCGCCAUCUUAAUUUGAUGGUAGCCGGAAAAAGCAUCUAGAAAGCUCAACAAGUCACAACCAGCAAUGGAAUCAACUAUUUGAUCGAUAUGGGGUACAGGGAAAGGAUCCUUGGGACAUGCACGGUUAAGAUCAGUAAAAUCCACACAGAUGCGAAGCUUAUUCCCUGCCUUGGGUACUACUACAGGGUUAGCUAAUCAAGUGGGGUACAGAACUUCCCUGAUAGCCCCCGCAGCCUUGAGCUUGUCCACCUCUUGCUUGAUGAAAUCUUUGCGCUCCUGUGCUUGCCGGUGAAUCUUCUGCUUGACGGGGCGGGCAUCUGGGCGCACCGUGAGUCGAUGCUCGAUCACCUCCCUAGGGACUCCGGGAAGGUCCGACGGCUCCUAAGCGAACACAUCGUCAUUCUCCUGGAGGAAAGUGAUGAGGGCGCUUUCUAUUCGACAGUAAGGUUCGCACCGACGGGCAGCUUCUUCACCUUGGCGGCCUCCUCCCGGAGCUUCUGGCCCUUGCAGGGGCACGAGCUCGAGCCUGCGCUUCCCUCGGCACGCUCUUGCGGGACAGCGCGGGCCUUCUUUGUUGCCGGGCCGUCGCCCGGCGAGCCUUCGUCUUCGGCAACGUCCUCCUCUGAAGAGGACAUCCCACAUGUUGGUACACCCGCAGCACCUACAGUCACAUUACAAGGACCUAUCACAAGAGCUCGCGCACGCCAACUUAAUUAUCAGGUACUUUCGUUUCUUGGAACGAUUCUUCACAUACAUGAGAAUAUGAUGCUGCCUAAAUCAGAUGUGUUUGUCACACUUAGGAAUGAUGGACCUAGCAUGGAUGAGAGGGACAAGCAUUGGAGCAUGAUCACGCAUGGAGAUGAAGGCAGCAAGCGUGUGAGGACUGACGAUGGCGCCGCAACGGGAGAUUUCAGAACGUUGAAGCCACCAUAAUGAGAGAUGAAGACAUGGGUGAAAUAUAGAGCUUUUCCCUUCAUAUUUUCGUCCACAUAAUUAUAUGGUGCUACGUCACCUUUUAAGUUUGGGCUAGGCCCAUGUAAUUUUCGUCCACAUACAUGGGCUGAACUUUUGGAGUCCGUAUAGGUGAAGGAAACCAACCUAGGGUGGGUUUCGGCCUCCUUUCCCAAGGCUGACCGCAUACCCCUCUAGUCCUCCAUAUAUACCCCCGUUAGGUCUUCGUUUAGACUCGGAUUUUGUUUAGUUUGAGACUUAGCUAUUCGCUACUCUUCGCCAUAGGCACAAGUGUCAAAUCGACCUUCUGUACUACGCGCUUGCAAAAUCCCAUCAAUAAAGCUUCACCUUUAUUCGCAAUAUCUUGAUUGCAUCUAUAAUUCUUGCUUGUUCUUCGGUUGCAUGCAGGGAUUGAUCCUUCGUGAUCAGGUUGAUCUAGCUCCGACGUGGUCAAUAACCUCGGAAGUUGGUGUAGCGAUCGCUAAGGCGCAACGUCUCGCACGUUUGUAGCCGGUUCGUCAACGUCGACAUCCACCCAAAAUCGAUAGUUACCGUCUCAUCGAAAGAUUGGGCACCUUUCUCCUAUCAUCCUCACCGGUGUCGGCUGCGGCAGCGGCCCUGACGACCUCGCCCACACACCAGGCCGCGUCCUUGAGGUCGCACCUGAUGGAGAGGACUCCGUACACGGACGGCAUCUUCAUCACGCCGUAGACGCAAUGCGUCGCCGCCAUGAACUUGAUCAGCGCCGGCCGACCAAGGAUCCCGUUGUAGGGCAACGGGGUGUGCGCCACGUCUAACACUAUGUGCUCGGUCUUUAACGCUUCCUGGGACCCGAAGGUCACGGGCAGCGUGAUGCGCCCCAGGGGGCGCACGAUCCCGGGUUUACUCCCUGGAACGGGUCAGUGGGCUUCAGCUGCUCGGCGCUCCUCAUGACGCUGCUCGCGCUGCUGCUUGAUACCCUGCAGGAUGCGGCAGUCCUACGCACCGUGGGUAGAGUCGGCAUGGAUGGGGCAGCAGGACGCGUCGACUUGCUUGCCGCCAGACCCGCCACCGGGCGAGGCCUUCUUCGCGGGCCUCGGGGUAGGCCUCGAGUCCGCGGCGAGGACUUGCUUCCCGCUGUGCUUGCGGGAACUCUUCUUCUGCGAACCCUCUCCUGGGCUCGCGGCAGCUUUAGCAGCAAGUUCGGGCGAUAAGCGCCCUUCCUCGGCCAUGGCACACUUGUGCGCCAGGGCGUACAGAUCCUGCGUUGUCCGGAUCCGAUGCGUGCUCAGCUUCUCGCACAUCUUGGGGGCGCGGACGUUGAUGGCGAAGGUGUUGACGAUGGCGGCAACCUCCGCCUCCGGGAUGGAGUAGGAGAGGUUCGAGAAGCGAUUGACGAAGUUCCGCAGCAUCUUUCCCGGCUUCUGCACCACGUGUGCAGCUCCGCCAUCGUUCCCGGGCGCUGGUAGCCGCCCUGGAACGCGCUCACGAACUGCUCAUGCAGGUCUGCCCAAGUAGCGAUGGACCCGGCAGGUAGGUUGAGCAGCCACGUCCUCGCUGAUCCCUUAAGGACCAUCGGGAACCAGUUGGCUCUGACCUUGUCGUUGGCGCCGAUGGCAUGCAUCCCCAACGUGUAGGUCAGGAGGAAAUCCUUGGGAUUCAUGGUCCCAUCGUUCCGCAUGCUAUCCGCCAUCAUAGCGGAAAUUUGAGCCGUCUGCACGCUUUCCAGAGCAGCUCUUUUGUAGUUUCAGUUUUUGGCCACAAAUUUUUUCGAGGCUAUCUAGGUUUUAGACCUUGCCUCUCGUUUUGAGUCACGUUCCAUCAUAGUGAGUUUUCGUAUAUAUCUGUCCGUUUCCCAGCACUGUACCUGUUGCUUUUGGUGUCGCGGCGUGACUCCCAGGUGUUCUAGGCUCGCGACUCUAGCACGGUAUAGCCUAGGGCCAGCACGGUACCGUCGUUGAGCUAUUAUUCAACUUGUGGCAUUACUGUUUUGAAUUGUUGCUCCAGAUAUUAGGAUACAGCCACCCAGAGCUCCGCAUACUCCUACACCAUGCGUUGACACCGCCUGGCAAUCGCUUUAUUCAAUCUUCCUGAGGUUUAAUCACACCGGUUGCUAGUCACCACCUGCUGCAGGGUAAGAACGGGUAAGAAUCUUGGUUUGCUUGACAGAUUACGCAUUCUCCACCACUUGCCGGAAGCAUAUACACCCAUAUUGCUGUGCUUUUUGAAUACUAAUCAUGACAGGUGGGGAGGAGACUUCAGAACCAACAAGCGCCGAAGUACAGGCGAACUUCACCAAGCUUUUGGACGCUCACAUGCAGGACGUCGACAAGCGCUUUAAUGAUACGAUGGAACACCUUGAGGGCCUCGAAACAUUUUUCACCGACAAGCUCGACGCCAAAUUCCGGGAGUUGAUGGCGCGCUUGCCACAACCUACCGCCACUCGGGCUCCCCCUCUCCACGCAUUCGCUGGGCGGGCACAGCGUGUUCCCGUUCACCAAGGUCAAACCUCAGCUGCUGCUGCUCGUGAGGAGCAACAUGAGGAGUCUUACGGGGACGACGAGUCCGAGGGCGAGCGGGAGGACGAGGGGGAACUUCUACAACAGCCGCGUGGUCGUCCACGCCCCUACAUUCGCCACGCAUGCCCGCAUGUGCCGCCGGUACGUGAUGAUGACCAUGUUGCGAAAUUAAAAUUGACUAUACCCAUGUUUGAUGGUAGAUAUAAUCCUGAUGCAUACCUUUCAUGGGAAUUAGAAGUACAGCAACGUUUUACAUGCUUAAAUUAUCCAGAGGAUAGACGUGUUAGUGCUGCUACUUGUGAGUUCACUAGUUUUGCUUCCAUCUGGUGGAUUGAAUAUCGUCGUGUUAAUUAUGCUAAUCCAGUCACUACAUGGGAUGCUUUGAAAUGGGCCAUGCGAACUCAAUUUGUGCCACCAUCAUAUCAGCGUACCUUGCUCAACAAAUUAACACGUUUAGAUCAGGGCAAAAAUUCUGUAGAAGAGUACUAUCAAGAAUUACAAACUGGUAUGAUGCGUUGUGGCAUAGUGGAAGAUAAUGAAGCUUUACUUGCACGAUUUUUCAGCGGGUUAAAAUUGGAGAUUCAGACCAUUCUUCGAUAUAAGUCAUACCAUACUAUAACUCGUUUGUUCCACCUUGCUUGCAAUGCUGAAUGUGAAGUGCAGGAUCGGAGAGAGGCGACCCGAACUAACUUUUCUGCAGGGCGUUCUAAUUCUUGGAGAACAUCGCCUUCUUCGUCACAGGCUGCUGCACCAUCCACUUCCACGCCCACACCCACGCGAGCUACAACUACUACAUCGCCUCUUGUUGCCGCCAAGCGUGCCUCCGCUGGACCCGCACCAAGUUCUUCUUCCUCCAUGGCGUCUACGGGCAAAACCAGCCAGAUUCAAUGCCGCAAAUGCAGCGGGCUUGGCCACUUUGCGCGUGACUGCCCCUCCGCUCGUGUGAUGAUCGCUCUUGAGGACGGUGGUUAUGAUUCCGCCAGUGAUUAUGAUGAGGACACUUUAGCUCUUCUUGCACAUGAGGAGCAAUGCGCUGCAGCAAACAAGGAGCACGAUUCCCACUUUAUGGCUGCCGAAGAUGCUGAGAAAUACCCAAGCUUAAUUGCACAGCGAGUUUUGAGUGCACAAGUGACGAAGGCCGAACCAAAUCAGCGCCAUAAUUUGUUCCAUACCAAGGGUGUGGUAAAGAUCGAUGUGUCCGCAUUAUUAUUGAUGGUGGGAGCUGUAACAAUUUGGCAAGUAUGGAGAUGGUGGAGAAGCUUUCUCUCACGACACGACCCCACCCUCGUCCGUACCACAUUCAAUGGUUUAACAACAGCGGCAAAGUUAAGGUAACACGUACUGCUCGUGUGCAUUUUACUAUUGCCGCAUAUGCUGAUUAUGUUGAGUGUGAUGUUGUACCUAUGCAAGCAUGUGCUCUUUUACUUGGUAGACCGUGGCAAUUUGACACAAAUUCUGUACACCAUGGUAGCACAAACCAAUACUCUCUUGUUCAUAAUGAUAAGCCAAUUGUGCUACUUCCUAUGUCUCCUGAAAGUAUUUUAAAAGAUGAUCUUGCUAGAGCUAGUAGAGCACAUAAUGAGGAGAAAAAGUUGAGUGAAAAUCAGAUGGUUGCUAAGGAACUUAUGCCUUCUAAAAGUACUUCCAAAUCUGCACCUAAACAUGCUAAUGAAAUUCGUUUGAAGAGUACUUGCUUGCUUGCUAGCAAAUCUGAUAUUUCUGAAAUUGAUGUGAGUACUACCACAUGUUAUGCUAUUGUUUGCACAGAGGUCCUGUUUUCAUUCGAGGAGAUGCCUCCCUCUUUGCCACCUGCUGUUGCUAACAUUUUGCAGGAGUUUGUGGAUGUUUUUUCACAAGAUGUACCUCCAGGACUGCCACCUAUUCGCGGAAUCGAGCAUCAAAUUGACUUAAUUCCUGGAGCAUCACUGCCCAACCGUGCGCCCUAUCGUACCCAACCCGGAGGAAACCAAAGAAAUUCAGUGCCAAAUUCAAGCACUACUCGACAAAGGUCACAUUCGUGAGUCUCUUAGCCCUUGUGCUGUGCCUAUUAUUUUGGUUCCAAAGAAAGAUGGUUCAUCGCGCAUGUGUACUGAUUGUCGCGCUAUCAAUAAUAUUACCAUUCGUUACCGUCAUCCUAUACCGCGAUUAGAUGAUAUGCUAGAUGAAUUGAGUGGCUCCACCAUAUUCUCUAAAGUUGAUUUGCGUAGUGGUUACCACCAGAUUCGUAUGAAGUUAGGAGAUGAAUGGAAAACAGCAUUUAAAACAAAGUUCGGUUUAUAUGAGUGGUUAGUAAUGCCUUUUGGUUUAACUAAUGCUCCCAGCACAUUCAUGCGAUUAAUGAAUGAAGUUUUACGUGCUUUUAUUGGGCGUUUUGUAGUGGUAUACUUUGAUGAUAUUCUUAUUUAUAGCACAUCGUUAGAGGAACAUUUGGAUCAUUUACGUGCUGUUUUUAAUGCUUUACGCGAUGCAUGUUUGUUUGGUAAUCUCGAGAAGUGCACCUUCUGCACCGAUCGAGUUGCUUUUCUUGGCUUUGUUGUGACAGCGCAGGGCAUUGAAGUUGAUCCUACCAAGAUUGAGGCCAUUUCGAGUUGGCCUCCACCAAAAACGGUCACACAAGUGCGGAGUUUUCUUGGACUCGCGGGGUUCUAUAGGCGCUUUGUCAAAGAUUUCGGAUCCAUUGCUGCGCCGCUGAACGAGCUUACAAAGAAAGAUGUUCCCUUUGUUUGGGGUGAUGCACAACAAGACGCUUUCAUGUUGCUGAAAGACAGGUUAACUCAUGCUCCUUUAUUACAACUUCCUAAUUUCAAUAAGACAUUUGAACUUGAAUGUGAUGCUAGUGGUAUUGGAUUGGGAGGUGUCUUGUUACAAGAGGGUAAACCUGUUGCAUAUUUUAGUGAAAAACUAAGUGGGCCAAAUCUGAAUUAUUCUACUUAUGAUAAAGAGUUGUAUGCGCUGGUUCGGACAUUAGAAACUUGGCAACAUUAUUUAUGGCCUAAAGAAUUUGUUAUACAUUCUGAUCAUGAAUCUUUGAAGCACAUUCGUAGUCAAGCUAAGUUGAAUAAGCGUCAUGCAAAAUGGGUUGAAUUUAUUGAAUCUUUUCCUUAUGUUAUUAAACACAAAAAGGGUAAAGAUAAUGUUAUUGCUGAUGCUUUGUCACGCCGUUAUACCAUGUUAUCUCAGCUUGAUUUUCGCAUUUUUGGAUUGGAAACUAUCAAACAACAAUAUGCGCAUGAUGUUGAUUUUAAAGAUGUAUUGCAGAAUUGUAAAGAAGGGAAAACUUGGAACAAAUUCGUCCUCAAUGAUGGAUUUGUGUUCCGUGCUAACAAACUAUGUAUUCCGGAUAGUUCCGUUCGUCUUUUGUUGUUGCAGGAGGCGCAUGGAGGAGGUUUAAUGGGUCACUUUGGUGUGAAGAAAACGGAGGAUAUACUUGCUACACAUUUCUUUUGGCCGCGGAUGCGUAGGGAUGUGGAGAGAUUCGUUGCUCGCUGCACGACAUGUCAAAAAGCUAAGUCACGCCUUAAUCCACAUGGUUUAUAUAUGCCUCUUCCUGUUCCUAGUGUUCCUUGGGAGGAUAUUUCGAUGGACUUUGUUUUAGGCUUGCAUCGUACACAGAAGGGGAGGGAUAGUAUUUUUGUCGUUGUGGAUAGAUUUUCCAAGAUGGCACAUUUUAUUCCUUGUCACAAGAGUGAUGAUGCUGCACAUGUUGCUGAUUUGUUCUUUCGUGAAAUUGUUCGUUUGCAUGGCGUGCCAAAUACUAUUGUUUCAUAUCGUGAUACCAAGUUUCUUAGUCACUUCUGGAGAUGUUUAUGGGCUAAGUUGGGGACUAAAUUGCUGUUUAGUACUACAUGUCAUCCCCAAACUGAUGGACAAACCGAAGUGGUCAAUAGAACAUUGUCUACUAUGUUGAGGGCUGUUUUAAAGAAGAAUUUAAGAUUGUGGGAAGAAUGUUUACCUCAUAUUGAAUUUGCAUAUAAUCGUUCGCUGCAUUCUACCACUAAGAUGUGCCCUUUUGAGAUUGUGUAUGGUUUUGUUCCUCGUGCACCUAUUGAUUUAUUGCCUUUACCAUCUUCGGUGCAAAAUAAUUUGGACACUUCACAACGUGCAGAAUUAAUCUUGAAGUUGCAUGCUACUACUAAGGAAAAUAUAGAACACAUGAAUGCUAAGUUUAAAACUGUUGGAGAUAAGGGCCGAAAGCAUGUUGUGUUUGAUGUUGGCGAUCUCGUUUGGUUGCACUUGCGCAAAGAUCGUUUUCCUGAUUUGCGCAAAUCAAAAUUGAUGCCACGGGCUGCUGGUCCUUUUAAGGUGUUAGAACGAAUUAAUGAUAAUGCAUAUAAACUUGAGCUUCCUGCAGAUUUUGGUACGGUAAGUCUGACAUUUCACAUUGCAGAUUUGAAGGCAUAUUUGAGAGAAGAAGAUGACAUUGCGUCGAGGACGACUUCAUUUCAAGAGGGGAGGAUGAUGAGGACAUCCCACAUGUUGGUACACCCGCAGCACCUACAGUCACAUUACAAGGACCUAUCACAAGAGCUCGCGCACGCCAACUUAAUUAUCAGGUACUUUCGUUUCUUGGAACGAUUCUUCACAUACAUGAGAAUAUGAUGCUGCCUAAAUCAGAUGUGUUUGUCACACUUAGGAAUGAUGGACCUAGCAUGGAUGAGAGGGACAAGCAUUGGAGCAUGAUCACGCAUGGAGAUGAAGGCAGCAAGCGUGUGAGGACUGACGAUGGCGCCGCAACGGGAGAUUUCAGAACGUUGAAGCCACCAUAAUGAGAGAUGAAGACGUGGGCGAAAUAUAGAGCUUUUCCCUUCAUAUUUUCGUCCACAUAAUUAUAUGGUGCUACGUCACCUUUUAAGUUUGGGCUAGGCCCAUGUAAUUUUCGUCCACAUACAUGGGCUGAACUUUUGGAGUCCGUAUAGGUGAAGGAAACCAACCUAGGGUGUUCGGCCUCCUUUCCCAAGGCUGGCCGCAUACCCCUCUAGUCCUCCAUAUAUACCCCCGUUAGGUCUUCGUUUAGACUCGGAUUUUGUUUAGUUUGAGACUUAGCUAUUCGCUACUCUCGCCAUAAGCACAAGUGUCAAAUCGACCUUCUGUACUACGCGCUUGCAGAAUCCCAUCAAUAAAGCUUGACCUUUAUUCGCAAUAUCUUGAUUGCAUCUAUAAUUCUUGCUUGUUCUUCGGUUGCAUGCAGGGAUUGAUCCUUCGUGAUCAGGUUGAUCUAGCUCCGACGUGGUCAAUAACCUCGGAAGUUGGUGUAGCGAUCGCUAAGGCGCAACGUCUCGCACGUUUGUAGCCGGUUCGUCAACGUCGACAUCCACCCAAAAAUCGAUAGUUACCGUCUCAUCGAAAGAUCGGGCACCUUUCCCCUAUCAUCCUCACCGGUGUCAGCUGCGGCAGCGGCCUUGACGACCUCGCCAACACACCAGGCCGCGUCCUUGAGGUCGCACCUGAUGGAGAGGACUCCGUACACGGAUGGCAUCUUCAUCACGCCGUAGACGCAAUGCGUCGCCGCCAUGAACUUGAUCAACGUCGGCCGACCAAGGAUCCCGUUGUAGGGCAACGGGGUGUGCGCCAAGUCUAACACUAUGUGCUCGGUCCUGAAUGCUUCUUGGGACCCGAAGGUCACCGGCAGCGUGAUGCGCCCCAGGGGGCGCACGAUCCCAAGUUUACUCCCCGGAACGGGCAGUGGGCUUUAGCUGCUCGGCGCUCCUCAUGACGCUGCUCGCGCUGCUGCUUGAUACCCUGCAGGAUGCGGCAGUCCUACGCGCCGUGGGUAGAGUCGGCGUGGAUGGGGCAGCAGGACGCGUCGACUUGCUUGUUGCCAGACCCGCCACCGGGCGAGGCCUUCUUCGCGGGCCUCGGGGUAGGCCCUGAGUCCGUGGCGAGGACUUGCUUCCCGCUGCGCUUGCAGGAACUCUUCUUCGGCGAACCCUCUCCUGGGCUCGCGGCAGCUUUAGCAGCAAGUUCGGGCGAUAAGCGCCCUUCCUCGGCCAUGGCACACUUGUGCGCCAGGGCGUACAGAUCCUGCGUUGUCCGGAUCCGAUGCGUGCUCAGCUUCUCGUGCAUCUUGGGGGCGCGGACGUUGAUGGCGAAGGUGUUGACGAUGGCAGCAGCCUCCGCCUCCGGGAUGGAGUAGGAGAGGUUCAAGAAGCGAUUGAUGAAGUUCCGCAUCAUCUUUCCCGGCUUCUGCACCACGGUGUGCAGCUCCGCCAUGGUUCCCGGGCGCUUGUAGCCGCCCUGGAACGCGCUCACGAACUGCUCAUGCAGGUCCGCCCAAGUAGCGAUGGACUCGGCAGGUAGGUUGAGCAGCCACGUCCUCGCUGAUCCCUUAAGGACCAUCGGGAACCAGUUGGCUCUGACCUUGUCGUUGGCGCCGAUGGCAUGCAUCCCCAACGUGUAGGUUAGGAGGAAAUCCUUGGGAUUCAUGGUCCCAUCGUUCGUACCGAGCGGGGGUGCUCGGAACUUGCGGGGCCAACCCUUUGACCGUUGGGGGGGGUCCUCCUUUUAUAGCCAAGGGGAUACCUGCCACGGUGCAUGGAUUACAAGUGGCGAGCAGUGAGCUUGGGCAGCUCCUCCUUGGUGCGCUGGCAUGCAGGCAAGAGCGCCAACCCCGCGACUAGGGGUCUAAAGCCUAAAAUUUAGCCCUGGGCAAUCCCUGUUUUCCUGACUAGACGGAUAACCCCCCCUCCUGUCGGCUCAUUAAAUGCGCCGUGCGCCUCACUCCUUGUCGUGGCGAACCUGCACACUAGGCGCCUGCCGCGCGCCCAUGUGGCGCUGCUGCUCUAUUCACUCGGCCCCGCCUCGCGGCGGCAACCUAUCCCCGGGAACGCCUCCUCCCGGCAAGGUACCUCCCGGGAAGCGCCCAGGCGAGAUUAUUCCCCGAAGCCCCGCUAGUCCUGCGGGGCUGGUAGCUUGCCGGGCAGCCUGCACGUUGCCGCCCGGGGUGCGAUCCUCCUGGGAACCAAGCGAUGCGACCCACGCGUUGAGCAGCGGUGGCACCUCGGGUGCCACCGGUGCAACAGCGGGUCCCACUGGUCAGUGAUGGGGCGGCUUGGGCGUGGGGGGGGGGGGUCCGGUUCGGCUCGGGUUUUUUUUUCUUUUCUUUUUCCUAUUUUCUGUUUUUGAACCUCAAAAUUGAUUCAAAGCUCCAAAUCACUCCAAAUAAAAUGCGAAUUUUUUUGUAAAAUCAUAUUUUCAUAUGAUCUAACUUUUGGAACAAGAAUUUCCUCAACAUAAAAUAUUUAAAAAUACAUUUCCCUAUAAAAUGGCUUAUAGGGCUAUCGAGAUAAAUUAUUUUCAAAGCAAUUUCAAAAGCCAAAUUACGGGAUAGCUUUUUAUAUGGAUUAAAUCCCUUUUUACCCAAUACCCUCAUGGGUUAAAAUGCAAAUACUCAAAACCAAGAAUCAAAGCCCAAAUUCAAAUAAAAGCAUUUUUGAAUAGGGGUUUUCUAGGUAAAUUUCAGGGUUUUCAAAGUGAUUAAAUGCAAGGGCGACAUGAUGCUAUUGAUAUGCAAUGCAUAUGAAGGGUUUUGAAAAUUGAGAUGUUACAACCGGAGGCGUCCUAACGGAGUUAUGCUCCUCUGUGUGCCCCAGGAGGAAGGGCGCACGCUGCGGAGGAUAUCCAUCGAGGCACAUGCUCGCACCAUGUGGCCUCCAGGGCGCUAGCUGGAAAAGCAUUCCGGCACGGCUUCUACUGGCCAACAGCAUUAGCCGAUGCCGAACAACUAGUCAAGACCUAUGAAGCAUGCCAGUUUCACGCCAAGAAGAGCAACCAGCCAGCGCAAGCCCUGCAAGUCAUCCCGUCCUCGUGGCCGUUCGCGGUCUGUGGGCUGGACAUCGUCGGGAAAUUGCCGAGAGCAGUUGGCGGCUACGAGUACUUGCUUGUGGCCAUGGACAAGUUCUCAAAGUGGAUCAAGGUGGAGCAGGGCCAUGCUCUCUUGACGCUGGCUCCCGAGCUUCGCGUAGUUGCGGCGAGCGAGCUCGGUCUCCGCCUUCUGGCUCCGGAGCUCGUCCUUCAGCCAGGAGAUCUUCGACCUCUUCUCCGAGUUUUCCUCGUCAAGCUGUCGAAGAUCGCCCCUCGCGACGUCCAGCUCGCCCUUCAGGGCUGCGGUCGCGGCCUUGAGCUACUCCUGGAACUCACAUUCUCGGGUUUGGAGCUGCUCCUGCAACUCCCUCUCCCGGGACGUGGCUCGCGUCGCCGCAGCCUGGGCUGCCGUGGCCUGCUCCCCGAGUUGCUGCCGUAGCUACUGGAUCUCGGAGGAGUAGCUGGAGAUGAGGCCGCUCUUCUCAUCGAGGCGCUCCUGGAAGCCCCUUAGUGCUUCCUAGUGCUACCCCUCGGCGCGAAGGCGCGCCGCCUCUAGCGACUCGAGCACCGGCGGAUGCUCCCGCGCAACUCUUGUAGCUGGCGCUGGACGUGCACUUUCGGGACCGAGGGCUCGGAUGCCCUGGGCCGGGCUAGCUGUGUCACUCGGAUCUCCUCCUGGAGGCACGCCAGCUCCUGCCGACGCUCGUACACCUCCUCUCGCGCGCCGUCUAGCCGACCCUGGGCUGCCGAGAGCUAUUGGCGCACCUUGUUGUAGCAGCUGACGAAUCCUGGUUGCUACCGCUUGAUGCCCUCUAUGAUCUCGUGCCCUUGGUCAAAGAUGCGGGGGUCCCAGUUUAGCGGACCCCAGCCAGCGCCCGCGAUCGCACCGGAACUCGAGGAGGCACCUGCAGCCACCGUUUGUGACCGCACCACCUCCUUGGGUGUCGGCAAAGGCGACCGCGCCCUGCUGCUUCCACCCGUCGUGAGCUCAUCCCUUGCCUCCGCCUGGGGCUGGGCGGCUGCUCGCGGCUGGCCUCUGUCGUGGUGUGAUCGAGGGGCUCAGAUCCGGUGUCCGCUGCCUCCCCGGUUAACACCGGGUCGGUGGCUUGGACACCGGGAGAGUCCCCUCCGUCCCCGCUCUGUCCGGUGGGGGGUUGCUCCACCGUCACCUCGGGCGUGGCUUUCGCGUCGGUCACGGUGCCCCCCUGGGGUGAGUUCUGCGGCUUCCACUCCCGCGGUUGCGGGGGCAGAAGGGGCGGCAAGGAGAAUUGUUAAGAAGAAGUGAAGUGUAACGCAUAAAGGAGCAGCGGGGGGGAGUGCUGCGGCGGGCUUGUCGUACCUUGCACAGUGUCCCCUCCCCCUGCGUCGGACGCCUCUUGGCGCCCGCAGUCGAUCGUUGCCGGGUCGGCCCCGGCAACGCUUCCCGGACCUGGAAGAGAACAGGAAAACGUGUUAGGCGCUGAAAAGGGAAAGAAAGAGAGAAGUACCCAAUCAGGUUGGCAGGCGCACCUGCUCCCGGGGCCGUCGGCUUGCUUGCGGUCUGGGCGGCGUCGCCCACACCCGCUGCUGCUGCCGUCGCCGCGCCCCCCGUCCUGACCUGGGGGCUUCCCCCACUCGUGCCAGGGGCUGUGCGCGGCUUCUUGCUCAAGGCCGCCAGCGGGGAGCUCACCGGUCCUCUCUUCCCCGCCGGCCUGUGAUACGGGUGCGGGUGGCCCGAUCUUUCGAUGAGAUUGGUAACUCUCGAUUUGGGUAGGAGGUGACGUUGACGAUCCGACUACGGCCUAGGAGGCAGCGCCUUAGCAAUCGAUACACCAACUCCAAAGGGUUAUUGAUCACGCGGGGGCACGAUCAACCUGACCACGAAGGUCUUUGUUCCUGCAAGCAAUCGAAGAACAAGCAAGAACAAGAUAAAUAGCGGAUGCAAUCUAAAAUUGCGAAUAUACUAUAUCAAACCAAUGUCUCAACGAGACGAUAAGUUGGGGUUCCGAAAGCGGUAAAACAGGUGGUCUAACCGACACACGCGAUUACACGAAGUAGUAGCGAUGGCUAACUUUUAACUAAACAAAACCCAAGGCUCCUUAGGGGGGCUCAUGGGGUAUAUAAAGGAGGAGAGAGAGAUAUUUUCGUCCACCUUGAAUAAGGAGUUCGAAAUCCAACUCUAUCUCUAACUUUCCUAACAAACUACAACUCUUUAGGAAACAGAAAAACAGAUCCGUCAGCUUGUUUUGUCCGUCACGGUCAGCACGAGUCGAAUCUCUUGAUGGGGCCAGAUCCGUUGGAAAGGUCUUGUAAUUACCUUUCCAACAAGUACUUGUUUGCUUGAUUUGGACUCCGGAUGCGGCCUGGGUGAUUAAAACAAAUUCGGGUCUCCUGGCAGCUCGGACCCGAAUCGGAUUCAACUUUAAUUCGUGAUAUCUUUCUCUAGCAAGCUCCGAAUCAUGUGCCGUUUGAUUUGUUGGAAAGUACACUUGAAAUCCUUCCCUCUCAGCUGUAUGAAUGCUUGAUUCUUGUUGGCCCUCCCGUUCGCCUCCACCGUAUCUCAUCUUGACCUUGGACUUGAAAAGCUCGACAAGAUGCCUACGUAAUAAAACGAGACAAGAUAGUAGUAGCUCCGCCUCUUCAUAAGUAUGACAAUGAAAACAAUUACUACUUGAAUUCACCUGAUUAUAAAUCUUGUCAAAUAUUAUAGAAUUGAGGGUAUCAAAGGUCGUAUCCAUGGUUAGCAUGUCCAUAUCAUCCUCCCUUUCUUGAAAGGAAAGCCGUCCUCGGCGUCGUUUAUGCUGAAAAUAUGCUAACAAAAGAGACAAGGUAUGCGCAUGGUAUAUGUAUAUAUCGUUAUUUUUAACUCCACUCCCAUGUUGCACAAUUAAUGUUUUAUAACACAAUCUCAUGAGAUAAUUAGUCAGACAAUCGUCAUGAAUAUCAUUCCAGCAAGAAGAUUGACAAUGUGUUUUGCAUAUAUAAGUGAAACAAUAUCUUGUAUUUGGUUUGCACCGCUCACCAUUAUACCAUCCCAACACUGGAGCAUAAUAAUUAAUAAUGUUACCCAAAUUAGUUACUACAAGAUGCUGAAAUUUAGAGCAUGUCAAAGCACUAAUAUUCGAACAAUCGUGUAAAGAACUAAUUGGCAAAUAAUCAACACCAAUAUUGGAGGUCAUAUCAAAAUGGUUAAGCAUAUGCAACAUAUUAUUUUCUCUCAAAUCAAGAAAGUUAUCACAAGCAAUGCAAAUCUGAUGCACCCAAAAUUUAUUGUUCACGUCAUGUUCUCCAAUUAAUUGAAUAGUGUAUCCAUGGGCAUUAGCAAAAGAUUUUGAAAUUGUUAACUCAGAACCUUUAUCCCUUGCAUGUGACAAAUAUAUAGGUGCAUCAAGUUUAAUAGAACACAAAGAAUUAUUAGGCGGAACCAUAGGAAACACUUCUUCAUGUUUAAUUAAUUCAAUGCAACAUAAAUCAAAUUUAAUCAUCGCGUCACAAGUCUGUUCCAAAACAGCAGGUAACUCAUCACAUAAAUCAUUAUCAUUUGAAUCAAUGGGUGCGCUCAAAUCGGCAAGUAAGUCAACAGUUUUACAAGGGGCAGCAUGGUCAUCACAUAUCUCAUUUAUUUCAACACACGUCAUAUUUAGUUCAGCAACACAAACCUCUGUAACAUUACCUUGUGGGCUCAACACGUUUCUUGUACACCUUCUCUCCAAUUUCCUCUCCGCUUCACGAGCAAGAUUAAGCAAACACAAUAGAGAGUCGUAUUUUCCGUAUUCAAUUAUGUAAGAAAUAUCAAAGUUAAGCCCACAAUAAAACCUAUCCAUUUUUCUUUGUUCGGUUUCAUCUAAACCAGAUCGCAAGGUUAAAAUUUGGAACUCAUGGUAGUAAUCAUCAACAGUUUUAUCAUCUUGUGUCAAACGUCGUAAUUUGGAACGCAACUCAUAAGCAUAACUUGGAGGAACAUAUGUUUCUCUCAUGAUUUUCUUCAUAUCAAUCCAAGUGUGAGGUAUUUUGUUUUCUCUAACUAUCUCACACCACCAUGAUAAUGCAUCAAAACGAAAUUUACUACUAGCAAUUUGGACCUUACGACUAUCUAGUACAUGGAAGCAUGUGAAUUGUUCAGUUAAAGCUAGCUCCCAAUCUAUAUAUGUUUCAGCAUCAUUUUCCCCCUCAAAGAAAGGUAAUUUAAUUGUAUUAGAAGGAUUGUUUUGUACCGUUGCCGUGGCAUUAUCAACAAGAGGCGUCGAGGAUGGCCGUGGUGAAAAGCACUCAUCGCGGUCACGGGAUAGCAUCGGUCUAGUUGCCAUGCUUCGUGUAAGUCCUGUCAUGGUUAGUAGAAAACAAGAAAUAAAUCACAGUAAUAUGUUCCUAUCAACUACUAGGAUAUGGCUACAAGUCGCUCAACUCUCAAGCUAAAAAUCAAGUUCUUACAAGUUCUUACCAUGCAAAACAGGAAGGUGAUGGCCAGCGGCGUGACCAAGCCCUCCGAAGAUUAAAUGUAUCAAUGCCUCGGUAACAAACCAACCUAGGUGUAGAAUCUGUGGAGCUUGGAGGCUUUUGUGAGUAGCAAGGAAUAGCAAAUAAUCAAAUCAGCAAUGCAAAGUUGAAAAUAUGCUCAAUAAUGCUAGUCCUAGCUGCUGGAGUCGAUAAGAACGAAUUACAGAAAUAAUCUAAGCCUAGAUACUGAAGAAGGUAGGAAUAGAUAGAUCAAAAGAUGGCACAACAAGUAAAUCCCUGGGAUUUUUUUUUCUUUUUUUUUGUGGCCUUCUGUUUGGCUUCUUAUUCUUUUCUUCUUCUUUUUUUUUUCUUUUUUUUUUAACCCCAGAAACUCACGCAAAAGAACGACCGGAAAACUGUACGUCGGUCUGUCGAAGAACAGCAAAGGCUGCAGUAAGAAAAAUCCAGAAAAAUAUGGAAAAAUAUGGGUUAGAAGGGUAUCGACACAAGCUUUCCAGCAAGGGCAAGAUCACUCAAAACGGAUGUCGGACAAUGGAGAAAACUGAGAAACACCGGGCUGCAGUGACGCCGGAAAACGGAUGCAGAAACUUGGAAGCUCAGAAAGUCCACCUUAAAAACCGAAUUUGGGGGUCAAAGUGCAGGGCAACGCCCUGGAUAUUUCCUGAUGCGCCUCGUCCUGAGCUUUCCAAAAAGUCCAAGAACGUCCAAAUCCGAGUUGGUACGCAAAAGAUACGCCCGUUUUACUGAACACGGGUCAAACCCACCCGAAACUAAAAUUCUACUCGGACUCGGGUCCGAAACUGACUCGAACUCUUUUUUUUUUUUCGUUUUUUUUUCUUUCUUUCUUUCCUUUUUUUUUUUUCUUUCCUUUUUUUUUUCAAAUUUCCAAACAACUUGAUCUCUAAACAAAAUUCGAUCUAUGAUGAAACACUUUCCAAAAGCACUCCUUAUUGGACUCGGACUCGGAUUCGCGGCUGAAAACUAUAACUUGCCGACUCGGUGUAGGACUCGAAGAGGGACUCGGUGUAGGACUCGAUGAGGGACUCGGUGUAGGACUCCAAGAGGGACUCGGUGUAGGACUCCAAGAGGGACUCGGUGUAGGACUCAAAGAGGGACUCGGUGUAGGACUCCAAGAGGGACUCGGUGUAGGACUCGAAGAGAGACUCGGUGGAAGAUAUGGUGGCGACGGGAGAUUAUGGCGGUGGUGUGGCAGGAAGUUUAGCGGCGGAAGAUUGAUGAAGGAAACCUGCGUCACACGAAGAACAAGAAAACCAAAAGCAAGUUCGAUCUAGUAGAAAAAAUCUGAAAAACGAUCCAAUCUAAUCCAGCAACUCGACACGAUUAAUGCAGCAAAGAUUCAACAAUGCAAAUACUAAUGUGAAAAUUGCAAGGCUCAGAUUGGUUCUAGGACAAGGUAACUAAUUCUAAUUUUUGUUUGGCUUUUUUCUGGACGAUAGGUAAAAACAGAUCUAAACUACGGAUAAACUGGAAAAAUCUCACCGAGCAACCUUAAGCUCUGAUACCACGUGAUACGGGUGCGGGUGGCCCGAUCUUUCGAUGAGAUUGGUAACUCUCGAUUUGGGUAGGAGGUGACGUUGACGAUCCGACUACGGCCUAGGAGGCAGCGCCUUAGCAAUCGAUACACCAACUCCAAAGGGUUAUUGAUCACGCGGGGGCACGAUCAACCUGACCACGAAGGUCUUUGUUCCUGCAAGCAAUCGAAGAACAAGCAAGAACAAGAUAAAUAGCGGAUGCAAUCUAAAAUUGCGAAUAUACUAUAUCAAACCAAUGUCUCAACGAGACGAUAAGUUGGGGUUCCGAAAGCGGUAAAACAGGUGGUCUAACCGACACACGCGAUUACACGAAGUAGUAGCGAUGGCUAACUUUUAACUAAACAAAACCCAAGGCUCCUUAGGGGGGCUCAUGGGGUAUAUAAAGGAGGAGAGAGAGAUAUUUUCGUCCACCUUGAAUAAGGAGUUCGAAAUCCAACUCUAUCUCUAACUUUCCUAACAAACUACAACUCUUUAGGAAACAGAAAAACAGAUCCGUCAGCUUGUUUUGUCCGUCACGGUCAGCACGAGUCGAAUCUCUUGAUGGGGCCAGAUCCGUUGGAAAGGUCUUGUAAUUACCUUUCCAACAAGUACUUGUUUGCUUGAUUUGGACUCCGGAUGCGGCCUGGGUGAUUAAAACAAAUUCGGGUCUCCUGGCAGCUCGGACCCGAAUCGGAUUCAACUUUAAUUCGUGAUAUCUUUCUCUAGCAAGCUCCGAAUCAUGUGCCGUUUGAUUUGUUGGAAAGUACACUUGAAAUCCUUCCCUCUCAGCUGUAUGAAUGCUUGAUUCUUGUUGGCCCUCCCGUUCGCCUCCACCGUAUCUCAUCUUGACCUUGGACUUGAAAAGCUCGACAAGAUGCCUACGUAAUAAAACGAGACAAGAUAGUAGUAGCUCCGCCUCUUCAUAAGUAUGACAAUGAAAACAAUUACUACUUGAAUUCACCUGAUUAUAAAUCUUGUCAAAUAUUAUAAAAUUGAGGCUAUCAAAGGUCGUAUCCAUGGUUAGCAUGUCCAUAUCAGCCUGAGGCAAGAAGGGUUAUUCAUCGAAGUGCUGCCAGUGAAAACAAGAACUAUGGUUUAAGGAAGAGAGCUUACCUUGCUGGGUUCAACACCAGCUUGCAGUCGGCAAAGAUUCCCCCAGCGGGAAGCGCCUUCCGCACUGGCGGAGCGCUCGCGCUACCACCAGAACCCCCCACCACGCCGGGGGCUGAGCCUCGGGCCGGUGGGCUGCCCCCGCGCUAGCUCCGUUGCAUGGCGGCGCAGGGGCACGGCAUCGUCGUUGUCGCCGUCCCCUUCCGCGGGGCUGUCGGCACCUCAGGACCCCUCGUCCCCGGAGGUGUCGGCAACGGCGCGGGAGGCGUCGUGGCCGGCGGAGGCGCCCGUCGGCCCCUCGGAAUCCCCGUCCGAGUCGUCCUCCUCCACCUCGCUCUCAGCCACCGGUUGCUUCCCGGUCCGAGCCCUUGGUCGCGGGGGAGGGCUACUUGACGGGGUCCCCGCCAUGAUGCCCCACUCGUUGCAGGGUGGGUAGUUGCUGGCUCCUGGGUUGGCGACGUUCGCGUGGAGCGCGAUCACACCCGGAGGAAGCCUGACGAAGGGGGAGUUGUAGCCGGUGAUCCCCUUGAGCCACGUGCGGAACUGCUCCAUCGUCAGCCCGCCUCGCUGUAGCCUCAUCUGGUCAUCUUCCCCCGAGUAGGUCCAGACCGGGUGAGUCUGGUGCUGCCGCGGUGUGAUGCGCCUCGCGAUGAAGCUCUGGGCCACGUCCCGAUCUGUGAGCCCCGCACGCAGCAGCGCAACGAUCUUGUUGCAGAUCGGCACGAGCUCGGCGUGCUUGGCGUCAUGGUCCCGCCAGUCGCGAGACUUCUUCGGCAACGUCGUGGGCUUGGUAUAGGCCUCGUCGUGCUUCUUGAUGUAGAGCCAGCACCAGUCCGCGCUCCACUCCGCCUCAAUCUUCCGGUCCUCCGUGACGAUACACUCGGAUUUGAGCCCAUCCCGGAACCGGGAUGAGACCCCGAAAGACAUCGCCUCGCCCUUCUCGAUGCGAGGAUAGUAGUCGUUGUGGAACAAUGCCACGGACGUCAUCACCCACACGAACGCCUCGCGGAGGUACUGGAAGACGGCCAGCUUGAAGUAGGACGUGGGAUGAAUCUGUGCCAGCUGCAAGCGGUACGCAGAGAGGAUGGCAUGGAGGAACAGGGAGUGCGGCGGCACGAGCCCGGAGAGGAUGAACCUCUCGAACACCCGGUAGUAGUGCUCGUCGGGAUCCGACCCGACGAGCAGGAUGCGCGUCGGGACGUGCUCGUUGUGCUUGGUGGCCACCGCCAAGCGCAGCUUCUCCACAGCCUCACCGUUAUAGCCGGGCUUGAAGAACGUGAACUGAGCCCUCUUCUCCUUGUCCCUGCACUCUCGCUCCAACAUUUCUUUCUUGCCGCUCUUCUCUCCCUUGCCGUUGGCGCCCUUGGGACGUGCUGGGCCUUUGGGUACCAUCAGUGGAGGGAGGGAGAAGGAAGGUGGGAGGCUUCUCGAGAGUUGGAGCGCAAAGGGGGCUUGGGGGAGGCAAUGGCAGGAGCUGUGUCGGAGGGGAGUCCCUGUGACGCCACCCUGGGUAUUUAUAUCUGGCAGGCGGAAUUGUAACGGGCACCCCCUCCCCACGAUCGGUAAUCAAGUGCCCUAAAGAUUUGGAGGAAUCAAGGCAGCGUGCGCGACGUGGCCAUAACUCCCUGCUCGUAGAGGGAUUGUGGGGCCAGAGAUCGUGCACCCGCCCCUCCUGCUCCGACGGGAGGAGGCCUAACGGCGGCCUGCGUGGUCGGGUUUCUAGCUUGGCCUGGGGACCCACGCGUCGGAAGGGCGUAGUUCGGCAACCGACCGAGGACGAUACUGCCCGGGAGCUCAAGGUUGCCGGCCCACACCCGAGGGCUACUGUCGUACCAGUGGCCCACGGGGCCCCACUGGCACGGGACGCGUGGGUCGCAACUGAUGGGAUCCUGCAAGGCCGGCUUCCAGGGAUGGGCGAACCCGGGAGGCUACCAGUUCGCUCCCCCGCAACUUGCUGGGCAACAGUACCAGGGCGUUCCCGAGGACCAGGGCUUUGGGAGUCGCAGGUGGGGCCGGAGGAACAAUGGAGACAAGACCACAUAGCGGGCGCAGUGCGUUUAAUGCACCGACAGGAGUCACAUCGGCAGGGCUAGUCUUGCCCAGCAAGUCUAGAGCGGCUACCCUAAGAAAGAUUUUACCUACAAUGCACAGUGGCCUGGGCGCUGCAUGAAGCCCAGCGUGGAUCUACAGUAGAGUAAGUUUUGUGGCAAUGACACGCAUGGAGAUAACGUGUCACACUGCAUGCAUCGGCACCUGUGGUAUCCCCUUGUCUAUAAAAGGAGGACCAAUGCCAUCGGUCAAAGGGUUCGAACCCUAGUCAAUAGCAAGUAGUAUUGCACCCAUUCAUAGCAUAAUCCCUUAGAAGAACAAGUAGCCCACCCGGGAUCCCCCCGGGGCAAUCUGUAAGAACACACAAAUUCGUGAAUACAACAAACAGCAGGACGUAGGGUGUUACACCUCCGGGUGGCCCGAACCUGGGUAAAUCCAAGCAUCUACACUUCGUGUCUUACGUCACGCUGGCGAUUGCCGGAGCGCCUGCCUCGCCCCUCACCGAACAACAAGGGGGUGCCCAGCAGCCCCGGUGCCGGAGACCCGUGCUCCGACACGUAGAUAGCAGUAGAAUAGAUUCUACCGGGUGCGGGACCAGCGCUCCCGGUGGGAGUAGCCCCCGAGUCUGGUGACGACUAUUUGCGGUGGUGAACGGACUCAAGUUAUGUACUCAAGGAUUUGCUUAAACAGGGGUCGUUCUUUUUUGUGGAAAGAACUUUUGUAUAACUAUAAUUACAUCUGAGUGUAAAUUUGAACUUGGAAACUCCCGGUGGGAGUGAUUCUGAAAUCUUUAUCCUUCGUUCAAUCUUGCAACUAUGGAGACGCAAGUAAUAUGUACGGGUGCGCGACCAGCGCUCUCGGUGGGAGUAGCCCCCGGGUCUGGGGUCGACUACGAGUAGUCAAGCGCGGACCCCAGUGAGUUUUUCCUUGAGUAUUCCUCCAUUUACUUGCUCAAAAAAGGCCGAAACCUCAAUGUAAGUCUUCUUAGAGGCAUUGCUGCCGUGUGUUUUGUAGACAAGGACUCCACUAAAUUGGACGCAGCUUGGGAGUGUCCAAGAUAGGGUUCAGAAUCGAUUGGACACAGCCCCCGAGUGUCGGGUGCGUUCAAGGCAAGCAUUUAGAGUCGGUUGGACGCAGCCCCUGAGUGUCGGGUGCGUCCAAGACAAGCAUUAGAGUCAAUUUGGAUGCAGCCCCGAGUGUCGGGUGCAUCCAAAACAAGCAUUGGAGUCGAUUGCACGCAGCCCCCGAGUGUCGGUGAUAGCCUCGAGGGUGUCCCGAUCUUUCGAUGAGAUACCUAAUUAUCGAUUUGGUAGGAGGUGACGUUGACGAUCCGACUACAACCUAGGAGGCAGCGCCUUAGCGAUCGAUACACCAACUCCAGAAGGUUAUUGAUCCCGUGGGGGCACGAUCAACCUGACCACGAAGGUCUUUGUUCCUGCAAGCAAUCGAAGAACAAGCAAGAACAAGAUGAAAAGCAAUCUGAAAUUGCGAAUAGGAGAUAUGAAGGUUCACGAAUCUGAAUACUCAAUAUAGUUGGAGUCUUGAUGACGGUAAAACAGGUGGUCUAACCGACACACGCGAUUACACGAAAGUAGCAAAGGCUAAACUUUAUCUAAUCAAAACCCAAGGCUCCAUAGGGGGGCUCAUGGGGUAUAAAUAGGAGGGGAACUAGGUGGUUUUCGGCCAGGCCCUUGUGGGAGUCCGAAACGGCCUAGGAAUCCUCCUAAAACACAACGAAAACAUCUAAAAAUUGGCUGGACCCUAUUACAUGGCCUUAGGCCCAAUAAAACAAGGUUAUAACCCUCAUCUUUGGCCCAUAGAUACCCAUUGGAGGGGGAAUCCUCCACUUGGCCGAAAUCCCAUUGAUGAAGAGGAUGCGGCCUUCUUCUCAUCUCUUUAUGGCGGUUUCAAUGUUCUGAAAUCAACACUUGAGCUACCUCCCACCACCUUGCUGCCACCUCCAUGGUUUGCUGUCCAACGCUGAUCCUUGAGGUCCAAGCUAGGUCCUUCAUUCCUAAAACACAUAAAAGAACCCAUCUUAGGCAGCAGCAUAUUCUCAUUAAUAUUAAAUGAAAUACCGAGGAACGAAAGUACCUGAUAAUUUAGUUGUCGUGCACGAGCUCUAGUAAUUGGUCCCUGUAUCUCCGGUACUUGAGGUGUAGGUGCUGUAGGGGCUGUGGUUGUAUCAUUAGUUGGGAUGUCCUCAUCAUCCUCCCCUUCUUGAAUCGAAGUCGUCCUCGACGGUAGUUCAUCUUCUUCUCCCAAAUAAGGCUUCAAAUCUGCAAUAUUAAACGUGGGACUAACCCCAAAAUCUGCAGGUAGCUCAAGUUUAUAUGCAUUAUCAUUAAUUUUCGCUAACACCUUAAAGGGACCAUCAGCUCGUGGCAUUAACUUAGACUUGCGCAAAUCAGGGAAACGAUCUUUGCGCAAAUGCAACCAAACAAGAUCUCCAGGUUCAAACACAAUUUGUUUUCUGCCCCUAUCUCCCGCAAGUUUAUACUUAGAAUUCAUGCGCUCAAUGUUCUCUUUAGUCGUCUCAUGCAUUUUUAUUAUAAGUUCAGCACGUUCCUUAGCAUCAAAGUUAACUUUUUCAGAAGUUGGCAAAGGUAACAAAUCAAUUGGUGCACGAGGUAUAAAACCAUAAACAAUUUCAAAAGGGCACAAUUUUGUGGUUGAAUGCAGUGAACGAUUAUAAGCAAAUUCAAUAUGAGGUAAACAUUCUUCCCACAUUUUCAAGUUCUUCUUUAAAACAGCCCUAAGCAUAGUAGAUAAUGUUCUAUUAACAACUUCAGUUUGUCCAUCUGUUUGGGGAUGACAUGUAGUACUAAAAAGCAAUUUAGUCCCCAACUUAGCCCAUAAACAUCUCCAAAAGUGGCUAAGAAAUUUUGUGUCACGAUCUGAAACUAUAGUAUUGGGCACACCAUGCAAGCGAACAAUUUCACGAAAGAAUAAAUCAGCAACAUUUGUAGCAUCAUCGCUCUUAUGACAAGGUAUAAAAUGUGCCAUCUUAGAAAAUCUAUCAACAACAACAAAUAUGCUAUCCCUCCCCUUCUUAGUUCGAGGCAAUCCCAAAACAAAAUCCAUUGAUAUAUCUUCCCAAGGAACAUUAGGAACAGGGAGAGGCAUAUAUAAACCAUGAGGAUUGAGUCGUGACUUAGCUUUUUGACAUGUAGUGCAGCGAGCGAUAAAUCUCUCAACAUCCCGUCUCAUCCGAGGCCAAAAGAAAUGAUCAGCGAGCACAUCUUCGGUCUUCUUCACGCCGAAGUGACCCAUCAACCCUCCUCCAUGUGCCUCCUGUAACAACAAAAGACGAACGGAGCUAUCUGGGAUGCAUAGCUUGUUAGCACGGAACACAAAUCCAUCAUUAACGACGAACUUGUUCCAUGUUCUGCCCUCUUUACAAUGCUGCAAAACAUCCUUAAAAUCUGCAUCAUGUUCAUAUUGUUCUUUUAUAGUCUCCAAUCCAAAUAUCCGAAAAUCAAGCUGAGAUAACAAGGUAUAACGACGUGAUAACGCAUCAGCAAUAACAUUAUCUUUACCCUUCUUAUGUUUAAUAACAUACGGAAAAGACUCAAUAAAUUCAACCCAUUUAGCAUGACGACGGUUCAGCUUUGCUUGACUACGAAUAUGCUUCAAAGAUUCAUGAUCAGAAUGUAUAACAAAUUCUUUGGGCCAUAAAUAAUGUUGCCAUGUUUCUAAAGUCCGAACGAGAGCAUAUAAUUCCUUAUCAUAAGUAGAAUAAUUCAGACUAGGCCCACUCAAUUUUUCACUAAAGUAUGCAACAGGUUUUCUGUCUUGUAACAACACACCUCCUAAACCGAUUCCACUAGCAUCACACUCCAACUCAAAAGUCUUAUUAAAAUCAGGAAGUUGGAGUAAAGGAGCAUGUGUCAACUUAUCUUUCAAUAUGAGAAAAGCUUCUUCUUGUGCAGCGCCCCAUACAUAUGGAACGUCCUUCUUUGUGAGCUCAUUAAGCGGUGCAGCAAGGGUGCUGAAAUCCUUUACAAAGCGGCGGUAAAACCCAGCGAGUCCAAGAAAGCUCCUCACUUGGGUGACCGUUGUUGGAGUUGGCCAGCUUUGAAUAGCGUCGAUCUUGGCCUUAUCAACUUCUAUGCCCUGUGGAGUGACAACAUAGCCAAGAAACGAAACUCGAUCGGUGCAAAAGGUGCACUUCUCAAGGUUACCAAACAAACGUGCAUCUCUCAAAGCAUCAAAAAUAGCACGUAAAUGAUUCAAGUGGUCUUCUAAAGAGCUGCUGUAAAUCAAUAUAUCAUCAAAAUAAACCACCACAAAUCGUCCUAUGAAAGCACGUAAAACUUCGUUCAUUAACCGCAUGAAAGUGCUAGGUGCGUUAGUAAGACCGAAAGGCAUGACUAACCACUCAUAUAGUCCAAACUUAGUUUUAAAUGCUGUUUUCCAUUCAUCGCCUAAUUUCAUUCGAAUUUGGUGGUAACCACUACGUAAAUCAACUUUAGAGAACACGGUAGAGCCACUUAAUUCAUCUAACAUAUCAUCAAGUCUAGGAAUUGGGUGACGAUAGCGAAUAGUAAUGUUAUUAAUAGCUCUACAAUCUACACACAUACGCCAAGAACCAUCUUUCUUUGGUACCAAAAUAACAGGAACAGCACAAGGACUAAGGGAUUCACGAAUAUAACCUUUGUCGAGCAAUUCUUGAACUUGUCGUUGAAUCUCCUUCGUCUCCUCUGGAUUGGUACGGUAGGGCGCACGGUUGGGCAGCGAAGCACCAGGAAUUAAAUCAAUUUGAUGUUCAAUCCCUCGAAUAGGUGGUAAUCCUGGUGGUACGUCUUGUGGAAAGAUGUCGGAAUACUCCUGCAAAACGUGAGUAACAGCAGGGGGCAAAGAGGGAGGCAUAUCCUCAAAUGAAAACAAAGCCUCUUUGCAAAUGAAUGCAUAGCAAACAGAAUUAUUCGUAUCUAACUCAGAAAUAUCGGAUUUACUUGCAAGCAAGCAUGCACCUUUCAAUUUAAUUUCAUUAACAUGUUUCGGUUCAGAUUUGCUAGUAGACGCUUGGUGCUUAAAUUCCUUAGCGACAUUAUGGUUCUCACUAUUAUCCUUCUCUUUGCUCUUUGCUCUACUAGCUCUAGCAAGAUCAUCUUUCACAAUUUGUUCAGGAGUCAUAGGUUUCAAACCAAUUUUCUUACCAGCAUGCAUAAAAGAAUAAUGAUUAGUUCUACCAUGAUGAACAGAAUCUGUAUCAUAUUGCCAUGGACGACCGAGUAACAUAGAACAUGCUUGCAUAGGUACCACAUCACAAUCCACAAAAUCAGAAUAUGUACCAAUAGUAAAGUGUGCACGGACUGUUCUAGUUACCUUGAGCUUACCGCUGUUGUUAAACCAUUGAAUGUAGUAAGGGUGGGGGUGCGGCCUGGUGGUAAGAACAAGUUUUUCCACCAUCUCCGUGCUGGCCAAAUUAUUGCAACUUCCCCCAUCUAUGAUGAUACGAACAGCGCGCUCCUUGAUGACCCCUUUUGUUUGGAACAAGUUAUGCCGCUGAUUUUGUUCGGCGUGGCUCAUUUGGACGCUCAAGGUGCGUUGUGCAAUCAAACUCAAGUACUGAUCAGCGGCUUCAGCUCCCAUUAACUCCUCGUCAUGGUGGGCAGCGGGGUCUUCUUGCUCUUCCUCGGCAAUGAGAGCAUAGGUAGCUUCGUCAAAAUCACUGGCUGAAUCAUAUACUCCGUCUUCACGUAUGAUCAUAACGCGUUUGGUUGGACAGUCCCGCUGAAAAUGCCCGUAUCCUUUGCACCUACGACAUUGGUUAUCUCCGGUCCGUCCGGUGGAAGCAACGGACGCUGCUGAACUUUGUGCAGAGGCAGCGGGUGUAUUUCUUGUUGCUGCUGGUCCAACCUUUGCGGAUGUAGGUGUAGAGGUACUUUGCUUGUUGGUGGAAGUAGUCGGAACAACCGGACGUGUAGGGGGUGCAGCUGGGCGUGUGGAAGGGGCAGCGGGGCUGCGUGCUGCCCAUGAGGAAGUACGACCUGCAGAAAAGUUAGUCCGCGCGUUCGCGUGUCGUCCCUGCACUUCCCUUUCAGCUUUGCAAGCAAUGUGAAACAAUCGAUUGAUAGAAUUAUACUCCUUAUAAUCAACAAUGUCAGCAAUUUCACGAUUUAAACCACCAAAGAAUCUAGCCAUAGCAGCUUCCUCAUUCUCAACUAAACCACAACGUAACAUGUUCUUUUGCAUUUCUUGAUAAUAAUCUUGGACAGAAUUACUACCUUGCCUUAAUUGUUGUAGUUUCUUUAACAAGUCACGCGAAUAGUAUGAAGGAACAUAUCUAGCGCGCAUAAUUCUUUUCAAAUCAUCCCAUGUUGGUGGUAUAGCGUUAGGAUGUGCAAUACAAUACUCAUGCCACCAAACAGAAGCAAAAUCAGUAAACUCACUAGUAGCAGCCCUAACCCUUUUAUUAGCAGGAAAAUCAUGGCAAGUAAAUUUUUGACUCAAUUCUAAUUCCCAUGUAAGGUAAGCAUCAGGGUCAUAUUUUCCAUCAAAAGGAGGAACCUUAAGUUUAAUAGAAUGCAGCGAGUCAUGUUCCUCUCUGUGAGGUCGUGUCGGUCCCAUACCUCGGCGGUUGAAACGAGUUCGGCGAUGAUCACGGUCGUUGUGAUGGUUUACGGCCUCGUCGUGUUCCGUAUCCGCGGAGUAGUCGUCGUCGUUCUCCUCAACCUCGCUUGCGAAGGUACCGUUAUUAGCCGUCCGCUGGUUGUGUGUAUUGUUUCCUCCCGGUGUAGCGAUGGUCGUUGCAGCAAUUGCCGCCAGUUGCUUCGUGAUUUCUGCCAGAGAAGUACUAAUGGUAGCAACAGAAUUCUGUAAAGAUGUUAGCUUGGUAUUUGUUUCAAUGUGCGCGCUCUCCAAGGUUCCAAGUCUCUCAUUCGCAACCCGAACGUCCUCAUCCAGCUCCUCGUUACGGAGCCUAAGCUUGCGAUCAAAAUGUGAAAUAAUGCCCUUUGUGCGUGGAGAGUGGCCUUGUAAAUCAUCAUCAGAACCUGCCAUCGUUAGGAGAAAACAAGAAACAAAUCACAAGGAAAAGUCCCUAUGCACUACUAGGACGUGGGGUUCCAAAGAUCACUCCACUCAACUUUUAAUCAAGUUCUUACUCGUUCUUACCCAGCAAACAGGAAGGUGAUGGCCAGCGGCAAGAACAAGCCCUCCGAAGAUUAGUGUAUCGAUGCCUCGAGGCAAACCAACCUAGGUGUAGAAUCUGUGGAGCUUGGAGGCUUAUGUGAGUAGCAAGGAAAAGCGAAUAAUCAAAUCAGCAAUGCAAAGUUGAAAAUAUGCUCAAAAAUGCUAGUCCUAGUUGCUGGAGUCGACAAGAACGAAUUACAGAAAUUAACUAAGCCUAGAUACUGAAAAAGGUAGAAAGGAAAGAUCAAAUGAAAGGUAAAACAAGUAAAUCUCUGGGGAAUAUUUUUUUUUCUCUUUUUUUUUUCUUUUUGUGGCCUUCUGUUUGGCUUCUUAUUCUUUUCUAUUUUUUUUUUUUUUAUCCCCAGAAACUCACGCAAAAUAAGUUAAGACCGGAAAGCUGCACGUCGGUCUGUAGGAGAAUAGCAAAGGCUGUAGUAAGGAAAACUCAGAAAAAUAUGAGAAAAUUUGGGUUAGAAGCGUAUCAAAACAAGCUUUCCAACAAGUGCAAGAUCACUCGAAACGGAGGUCGGACGGUGGAGAAAACUGCGAUAUACUGCGCUGCCCCGGUCCCGUAAAACGGGUGCAGAAACUUUGGAGCUCGAAAAGUCCACCUUAGAUGCCGAAUUUGAGGGUCAAAGUGCAGGGCAGCGCCCUGGAUAUUUCCUGAUGUGCCUCGUCGUGAGCUUUCCAAAAAAUCCAAGAACGUCCAAAUCCGAGUUGGUAUGCAAAAGAUACGUCCGUUUUACUGAACACGGGUCAAACCCACCCGAAACUAAAAUUCUACUCGGACUCGGGUCCGAAACUGACUCGAACUCUUUCUCUCUUUUUUUUCGUUUUUUUUUUCUUUCUUUCUUCCCUUUUUUUUUUCUUUCCCUUCUUUUUUUUUUUCACAACUUUCCGAACAACUUGAUCUCUGAACAAAAUUCGAUCUAUUAUGAAACACUUUCCAAAAGCACUCUUGAUUGGACUCGGACUCGAACUCGCGGCUGAAAACUAUAACUUGCCGACUCGAUGUAGGACUCGACGAGGGACUCGGUGUAGGACUGGAAGAAGGACUCGGUGUAGGACUCGAAGAGGGACUCGGUGUAGGACUCGAAGAGAGACUCGGUGGAAGAUAUGGUGGCGGCAGAAGAUUAUGGCGGUGGUGUGGCAGGAAGUUUGGCGGCGGAAGAUUGAUGAAGGAAACCUGCGUCACACGAAGAACAAGAAAACCAAAAGCAAGUUCGAUCUAGUAGAAAAAAUCUGAAAAACGAUCCAAUCUAAUCCAGCAACUCGACACGAUUAAUGCAGCAAAGAUUCAACAAUGCAAAUACUAAUGUGAAAAUUGCAAGGCUCAGAUUGGUUCUAGGACAAGGUAACUAAUUCUAAUUUUUGUUUGGCUUUUUCUGGACGAUAGGUAAAAACAGAUCUAAACUACGGAUAAACUGGAAAAAUCUCACCGAGCAACCUUAAGCUCUGAUACCACGUGAUAGCCUCGAGGGUGUCCCGAUCUUUCGAUGAGAUACCUAAUUAUCGAUUUGGUAGGAGGUGACGUUGACGAUCCGACUACAACCUAGGAGGCAGCGCCUUAGCGAUCGAUACACCAACUCCAGAAGGUUAUUGAUCCCGUGGGGGCACGAUCAACCUGACCACGAAGGUCUUUGUUCCUGCAAGCAAUCGAAGAACAAGCAAGAACAAGAUGAAAAGCAAUCUGAAAUUGCGAAUAGGAGAUAUGAAGGUUCACGAAUCUGAAUACUCAAUAUAGUUGGAGUCUUGAUGACGGUAAAACAGGUGGUCUAACCGACACACGCGAUUACACGAAAGUAGCAAAGGCUAAACUUUAUCUAAUCAAAACCCAAGGCUCCAUAGGGGGGCUCAUGGGGUAUAAAUAGGAGGGGAACUAGGUGGUUUUCGGCCAGGCCCUUGUGGGAGUCCGAAACGGCCUAGGAAUCCUCCUAAAACACAACGAAAACAUCUAAAAAUUGGCUGGACCCUAUUACAUGGCCUUAGGCCCAAUAAAACAAGGUUAUAACCCUCAUCUUUGGCCCAUAGAUACCCAUUGGAGGGGGAAUCCUCCACUUGGCCGAAAUCCCAUUGAUGAAGAGGAUGCGGCCUUCUUCUCAUCUCUUUAUGGCGGUUUCAAUGUUCUGAAAUCAACACUUGAGCUACCUCCCACCACCUUGCUGCCACCUCCAUGGUUUGCUGUCCAACGCUGAUCCUUGAGGUCCAAGCUAGGUCCUUCAUUCCUAAAACACAUAAAAGAACCCAUCUUAGGCAGCAGCAUAUUCUCAUUAAUAUUAAAUGAAAUACCGAGGAACGAAAGUACCUGAUAAUUUAGUUGUCGUGCACGAGCUCUAGUAAUUGGUCCCUGUAUCUCCGGUACUUGAGGUGUAGGUGCUGUAGGGGCUGUGGUUGUAUCAUUAGUUGGGAUGUCCUCAUCAGUCGGGUGCGUCCAAGACAAGCAUUAGAGUCGAUUGGACGCAGCCCCCCGAGUGUCGGGUGCGUUCAAGACAAGCAUUAGAGUUGAUUGGACGCAGCCUCCCCGUGUCGGGUGCGUCCAAGACAAGCAGUUUUUGGGUCCAUCCUGCUGCGUGGACGAGAGCUGAAUAUUGUGCUUUGCGCCGUGUGGCUUGCAAUAAGAUGUU